This 69796-nucleotide long non-coding RNA is filed under the name Sorghum bicolor (sorghum). Its description in RNAcentral is "long non-coding RNA (SBIC_LNC003234)". The stretch from base 59137 to 59243 matches the Rfam family "Plant small nucleolar RNA R71". The record is from RNAcentral. Lineage: Eukaryota; Viridiplantae; Streptophyta; Magnoliopsida; Poales; Poaceae.
AUCCCACACUCCUAAUCAUAUGAACUAAAAUGUUGCACAUUCAAUCUUUGGAAGAUAUAUAUAAACAUAAGUAUAGAUAAAUUAUCUUUCCAUUAGGUUGAGCGAUCUGAUGUGACAAAUGUUUUAAAUGCUACACGCAUGAUCUUAUUAUCCAUCAACUUUGUCUUGCUCACUAUGCUUAAGGUUAGAGUUGAACAAAUACACUUUUGGUUCUGUUGGUGUUUUUCACCAACAGGGCCCAUGCACUUGAUCUCUGCCUUGUCUCUAUGAGCAGGUACACUUCGAGCAAAAUAUGAAGGAGUUUUACAACUCCCAGACUCCACCAAGUGAAGAACCUAGAUCUACGAGCACAAACACACUAGAGAUACUGGACACUCAGGCAAUCACUGCCCUGAGAUGCUUGAGGACGUAACUACUGGAGUAACCCCAUUGUGGAAGUAAUUACUGACCUUCUGCCGGUCAAGAGAGACAAUCUAGGACGCCCCGUCAUCCCGAUCUCCAUCGGCAUGGUGGUCUUCCCAGAAGCACUCUGCGACUUUGGCUCCAGUGUCAACAUUAUACCUAGGGGAAGCCAUUCCUGAACACCUCGGGAGCUGUCAUCUACGCUAGUGCUGCCAAGAUCAGUUUCUACAUCAAGGGGAAGAAAGAGACGUUUUCCUUCAAGAAAAAGACUACACAAAUCUUAGAGCAAUCCUGACAUGAACCAAGGAAGGACCAACAGGAGGAACAGGAACAAGCAAAUGUGGACCGAGUCAGCUAAGAUGGUCACUACAGUUCAAGGAGGUCAAGAUCGUCGACAUAAGUCACCGUUCCGGACCAAAAAGGACGACCCAGUCACCUAUCAGCUCCUGUUCAGAACCAUGCCCUUAAAACCGACAUACACCCAGCUCCAGAUGGCAGAUCAAACAUUUCGAAAGGUUGAAGGUUAUUGACAUGGGAGAAGACGAGCACGAUCCACCCAUCAUCCUUGGAAGACCGUUCCUCAGCACUGUUAAAGCAAUCAUCUAGAUUGGAACCAGAGAAGUCCACAUGCACUUCCCCGCUAACAAGGUACGCCGCUAUUUUACUGACCUUAAUUAUAUAGUUGAAGACUCUAAGCAGGUCAGGACAAGAAGAAGACGACAAAACCGUAACCAGAGAAGGCAAAAUUAUCAAGGACGGAUGGGUAGACUAUGAAGGAGAAGUUGUAAGGUCUGAAGACAUACAGAUUGAACAGAACUGUCCUGAGGAGACCGUAGCACCGAGUCAGGUGUGUAGAGAGAAGAUAGUUAUACACAAAGAGGAGACACCGCCGGAACCACCGACUACGCCAUCCAGCGAAUCCCAGGACGACUGAGAAUACGGAGAGUCCCGUUCGGAGGACUUAAAAACACCGAACGCCUUGCCAAGAGGUAAACUUGGUAGUUAUCUUUUUCCUUUCAAUUAUUUAAAAUAGUUUGCUUAGUUAAUCAGGUUCAUAUCAUCUUGAAAAAAAAUAAAAAUGUUAAAAAUAGUAAGCCCCAUGUGAGUAUGCUCAUGGCAUAAAACCCAAAAGUACAUUCACUGUGGUGGCAUAAAAAUAAAAUAAAUAUAUUCCUGUCCUAUAAAAAUGAAAAUAUAAAAAUAAAUUUAUGAUCCUACCAAAGAGUGUAACAUUUAUUGAGGAGGCUCAAUAUGAUAAAGGCUAGAUAUUUAUGCUAACACUUAACUAGUUCCACCAAGUUUUGUUUCCUAUUUGAGCUCCACAGAAUUCAAGGAUCAAAGAAGACUAGCAGACGGAGGACAUCCUAACCGCUGUCAGGGUGCUGCCGACAUACCUCCGCCACCUGCUAGCUACAUCAGAAGAAAUUACAUCAAAAUCCAGCUUGGGGGAGAGCACCCCCCAUUUAUCCAGCUAAGUAUUCUACUCACGUUUAUACUUUAUUCAAAUAAUAAAAAGAUGCAUAAUCAUAAAAAUCCAAAUAAAGAUUUUGUGCUUAUAUAUAUAUAUAACUUUGCUUAGUUUACUAAAUAAAUAAAUAAAUAAAAUUUGCUAUGAACCCUCAUGAUAAGCUCUCAAAUGGAAAUGAUGAAUAGUUGCUCUACCACGACUAGUUCUCAAAAUUGAAAUCUCUCUCAAGUUUAGGCAUGACUAGUAUUAAUUAAGAUUUGCUCUAAACCUGAACUUGAGGGAAGAAAACUUGAUCUAAAGUCUAAGUCGUUAACGGAUAUGAUAUGGGAAGGUUGAGCUGCUGUUUAUCUGUUCCUAGAGAUGCUAGAAUUCUGAAGAAUUUUAUCUUUGAAAAAUCUUUAAAAUAACACAUGAUGAGUUCCUGUAUGAUGAGAGAUUAAAAUCCUACCACAGCCAUAUAUACAUGCUUGCUGGACUUUGAGCCACAUAUUUACUUUUUACUGCUUAUGAGAAUUGAGUGUGGUCAAGCUGUGUAGACCCUUAGGAGCUUGUCAUGUGGUUAAAAUCAAGAUUCACUUGCACGUUCACUCAUACAUGCUACUUCUACUCCGGAAGUACCAUCCACAUAUAUCCACCCAUUUCCAUCUCCAGAUUCACCCAAAAAUAUUCUACUCCUAAUCCGGGAGAGAAUAGCCAAAAACAUUCUCCUAUUUCUGUUUUUCCCUAUGAAAAAAAUGCUCAAGUUAUCUUGGUUACUACCACUUGCUAUAUUAUUUCAGGAGAUGAGUGCUCUAAAAAAAAGAAGAAAGAAAAAAAAGAAAGAAUGCGAGGAAAUAAAAAGGGGCAAGUGCCCGGAACCUCGAAAGAAAGAAAAAGUGAGACGAGAGGUAAAAAUGGACAAGUGUCCGACAGUAGAAUUAGGGGUACAAGAUACCCACCUGAGAGAAGAAAAAGAAAAAAAAUAUAUAGAGCAUCUCAUUCUCCUCAAAAAGUUUCAAAAGAGCAAGAAAGGUAUGUAUCCCUUCAAAAGAGCACAAGUAGAAUUAGAGUUUCACCAUUGUUAUCACUAUCAUUACCAUGCACCAUUCAUUCGCCACACAUGCACAUCUUGAUUUGACUUAUUGACUUGUUCUUUUGGAUCCAUGGUUUGACUAUGCAAUAAAUGUCUUGUAAGUAUGUAUUAGCUGUCUCCCACCUAUGAGCUCCAGAUAUCAAAACCUUAUUAGAGUAGGGUGAGAGAGAAGGCAAUACCACUAUGCCUCAUACCAAAAAUACCACAUACUUUAAGAGAAGGCAUACACCAUUACUGCCUUGGUAAGGAUCCAGAAAUACCACAAAAGAGGGACUAGAGAGUCAUACAAGGAAUCUCUGAGUUUUAUUUGAAAAUCUGCAAAAAACUCUAGAGCUAUAGUUAAUCGAAGAACAAGAGACAUGGUGCUUGACUAGACUGUUCUAUCUUUUAACUACUCAAAACAGAAGUGACGGUUACAAGUCCCAUGGUGAAAGGUAAAUGAGUAAGUUUUAAGUCUUAACAGUUUACUCUAACCAGAGAUGAGAUCUUGUUUAAAUGCAUGUGUAUCUUUAAGUUAUGAAACCACUGCAGAAACUCUUGAGUCCAUCUUUGCUCAGGGACGAGCAAAGGUUAAGCUUGGGGGAGCUUGUCGACGGUCCUUAAUGCUCACAUUUAACCAUCAACUAAUCAUGGAAAAUGAUCUAAAUGGAACCAACACCUAGACUUAGGGUUUUAUCUGACAGAAUUCCACGAGUUUUGGUGUUUAUCUAUUUCUGUAGGGGGUUAUCAGGAAAUAAGGAAGAAAGGCCCACACGUCGGGUUUACAUAGAGAUAUUAACGUGCCGCGCAAUUUUCUACCAUCUAGAAGACUCCAGAAGCCACGGGAACGAACGGGAGACGUAACGGAGCCGGGCACUGGGCGCCCGCCCUCCCUUACUGGGCGCCCGCCCUCCCCCUGGACCAAACAGAGUCCAAUUCGGGGACAACACUCCACCGACCUAAUACUUCAAGGAAAACCACACGAUCAAUGUCGGUUUGAUCCGACGGCCCAGAUUCACUUGAAGGGACUAUAAAACCAGACCCCUCUGGCCCCUGGAGAUCAUACCUCUUCUACAGAAUCAAAGCUAGGGUUUCAAUUCUUCAUCCAAGUAGAGAGGAUCCCUCUAGUUCUUCUAGUUCUACCUCUAGUUCAUCUAGAUCUAGUUCUAGUUCAUCUAGUUCUAGUUCUAGUUCCUCUAGUUCUAGUUCUAGUUAGUUCUAGUUGUAAUCUAGAAAAUAGGGAGAGAGAAGAGGAGAGCGGAGGAGGAGCCGGAUCUGUCGGAUCUUCCUCAACAUUGUACUUUUGCAGCAUCUGGUUCGUUCUUCAUUGUUCUCCUGGUUCUUCAAUUCAUAAUUCCUGAGUUCUUUAAUUACUUUUAUUUACAUUCAAGUUAUUUAUUGGAUUCCCGCUUGCAUCAAGUGCUCUAGUCUUUAUAACGCUAGAGUAGUAAUUAAUAGAUUAGACGUGGUGUUUAGUCUUGCAAUUACCUGGAAUUGCACCCAAUCCUGCGGAUUGUUGUGGUAGCCUUAGGGUAGUGACAGCCCUAAUGGUCGACGUAUUCCACCACGUUCGGAUCGGUGUUUGUAGGACCGUAGUCAGACCUUCCUAGCCCUCUUCUCAUCUCUUUCUGUGGUUAGUGCUCUGAUGUCCCGAUAUAGAUAAUCUUGAAGUAAUUCUUGAUUCUUAGAUCAACUAGAGAACUCUCAGGAAACUUCCUCUCUUCCCACCAAAAAUAUUCAUAUAGUUAUCCUUGGGCGAUCUUGGAUCUUAAUUAGUACACUCACGUUCUCUGUGGAAAAUCGAUACUCUGGAAUACUCCCGGGUGAAGGCUACAUCGGUAUCCGUGCGCUUGCGGAUUUUUCUGUUUGCGUUUAAAAUACCCAACAGCGUACCUAUAGAAAACUCAUUUCAGCCCAACCACAUAUGAAUAUGCAGAAUAAAAAAUUAAAACUAUGCACUCCACACACAUAGGUACUGCACCUAUGUAUGUGAUGUGCCACUACCCACAUCAUCGCCCUAGUGACGGCAUCGCCUCUCAGGACGAAAUCUCUCAACAUGCGGUACUAUUCCUAGGCACACUGGAUAUGCGUGCAUGACACAACACCCUAAAGCACUUCCCUAGACCGGCAGUGUAUCCGAUCAUGCUCUCACAGCUCCCACUUACCGAGGCAUAGGGGAAAAGUGAUCCAUACAUUACCACUCAAAUGAAUGGCACUCAUACUAUUACACGCCGUAUGAGCGACGAAACAGAAAUAUGAUGCAUAACCCCCAAGUCAGUACUUAACUAGCCACCUUAGAGUCCUUAACUGGGCAUAAAGGAUAUGACCAAUGGCACACUGUGUAGUUUUCCAAAAACUCGUUUUAACACCUUGAUUACCAUUGAUAGAUAGUUAACUUUGAUUAACCGGUUUAAGUUUGUUUUAGAACGUACUUAUGAACAGUAAUCCGCUGAACCUUGCUCCGAUGCCAGCUGUAACAGAACCACCCAAAUUAUAAGAGAUUAAGCCUAAAAGUGACCAUUUGCACAGUCGAACCAUCAAGCUCAAACCCAUAUAAUUCUGGUAGUCCGUGAAAUCUUGAAGGAUUUCGAACCACUACUUAUACAUACAGCUAAGAUCAUAAUAAGUCUAGCGGUCACCAUCCACACUUACAUUCAGCUCACAAGUUCAAGAGUACAUCAGAGUUCAAAUAAAGUUAUUACAAAACCAAUUUCAGUAGUAGCGGAAGCAUCAUAGUUUUAAAAUAACACACACUUAGUCUGAUAUAGUGCCAUAGUUUGAUCAUUCCCACAACAGCAAAAGAAGAGGUAGAGUGACUAUCACCCUUGGUCUAGUCAUCACCCAUUGCUGGGUACAAGCAGUGAAUCCAAUACCCAUAGUACAUCUGACCAUCUGCAAAACAACAUGGGAAUGGAACCUUGAGUAUGAGAAUGUACUCAGCUAGACUUACCUGUCAUAAACCAAAAUAUAAAAGACUCUUCAAGGAUCAUGAAAGUUGUAUAGUGGGGAGGCUGAAACCUUUUUGCGUAAAAGCCUCAACCAUCUAGAGUAUAUCUUGAUCUCUUCCUUUCCUUUAUUUAGCCCAGGUUAGGUAUUAUUACCUAUCAUCUAGAUUUGCAUCUGCACUAUUACAAACAAUUGUUGUGGCAUGAUAAUACCUUAUCAUAGCAUUCACAAUUUAUCAUUUAACACAACCCAAGUGUUUCAUAGUCUUUACUGCGAGGAUAGGGCUUAUGUCAAGUGCUCACUAUCCAUGAGCGAUGGCGACUCGAAUCGAUUUUUGACCAGCUGGCGAGUUAUUCCCCACACAAACCACACUCACUGAUCAAGUGAGCUACAGAUCACCAUAUUACACUAACCAGGACCAAUUCGUGGGUUCGGCAGGCAUCGCCAGUACCCGAGGACCGUUCCGACGACCGAGGUAUCCAAGGUAUACCAAGGUUGCGCGUCGCGCCCUCGUCGUUCUCCUCAACAAUCACCAAUACAGCGCAUGGCGGCUCGACUCCCGGCCCGGAUAGUGUUCAGGCUUCACGGUCGGAACGACUUAUCCUUCCAACUAAGUGUGGGGCAUGCGUUCAACAUGACAAGAGGGCCGUCAACGAUCGGUCCUUACUCAACACAGGCAGGGGCACUACGGUUAACACCACCAUAAGACCCUGUCCAGUCUCAAAUUCUUUUCCCACACUUGGUUGUCCUUUCACCAUAGCAUUAACAGCUAAUAAUCAGGUAUCCACCUAAAUCUCGCAGGUGAUAGGAAAUCACCCGACUUCUACCGCACUAAGCAAGCUAAACAUAGACUCCGAGCCUAUCUACAUAGGACAAGGUAGAUAAACAAGUGGUGAUAUCAAGGAGUAAGUAUGCAUCAACGGUGUCAAGCAACUCCUUUCACUUAAAUGCAGCAUAGUAAAACAAACAUGAUAUAACAAGUUAAGUUAGCGAGAAUAGGGAGAAUUAGAAUGCUCUGGGGCUUGCCUCUCUCGAAGGUGCUAGGCCUGUGGUCCGGGCAGUCCUGCAGAUCUUCUUCCGGCUCUGGUCCUCCCAGAAGUUACUGCUCCGGGGUCUCUUCCUACUCCUCGGGUCCCACCUCGUUCUCCUGCGAGCCUGUAUGAUGCAUGUGUGCUCAUGAGUGGAGUGCAAGAUGCCCGAGGUGCAAUGUUGAUGCAAACUAAGACAAGAUGCUCAUGAUAUGGUGCAUAGAUAAAACAAGAAACUAUUUCUACAAGGUAGUCAACAUCUUCCAAGAACAUGUAACCAAAGUAAAGCAUUUAUUGCAUUCUCUUCUACCAGUUAUUACUAACCAGCAAGCUACUAUGGUGCUUCAAAGAUACACCAAACACCAUUUAUUUUAUUCAUCUCAUGCAUAACAAGGUCUUAUUUAUUUAAUUAUUAUUAGGCCUACAAUAGUAACAUAUAUCUCUGCUCAUCAAUAAAUUCUACAAAAAUUACAGUAGGUCACUGGAUAUUUAUAAAGUCUACCACUAAUUUUUCAUAAUUUUUUGACAGAUAAUAUGGCCUACACAAAAAACACAAGUUCACCCUCAUAAUUAGGUGUAAAUACCCUACUGGUGAUAAAGUGUCAAACAACAGAUUUCAUAAUUUUAUAGAUUACUUACUAACAUAAGAAAUGUCCACAAAAAUUUUUAGAUUAAUUGCAUCAUCCAAUUAUUUAUUAAAAAUCAUAAACCAUUGCCAUGUAAGCAUUUAAAUCAUCAUAAAUUAAUUUAUACAGCAAAUAUUGUGUCACAUUUUUUUCCCAGAGACUAAACAUCCAUGCAAAGCUAGCAAAACAAGAAUUGUAUUUUUCUGAGUUGUAUUCUAUUUACUAUGCAUUUUCAAAAUAUCAGCAAAAACAUAGAAUAAUUAUAUUUAUACAGAAAAGUUGUACAAACAUGACAUGCAUUUACACCAAGUUAUAGAUAUGGAUUUUUAGAACACACCAAACUUUAUUUCAUCAUUUUUGGAGCGGUAGAACUCAAGUUAUGAAAUAAACAAGAUUUAAAUGGAUUUCUGAAAACCUUUAUUUAAGAAAACCGAGGGGAAAACGCUAGAUUUACCCAGAUCCACACCCGCAGAGACGCUGACAGGCGGGACCCGAGGUUCGUGGCCCUACUGGUCAGCCUAGCCGCACUCCGGCGGCCUUCGACCGGCCGGCUCUCGCCGACGGUGAGGUUUCCGGUGGCGCGGCCGUCACCUACGGCUUCGUCUCGGCGAGAUGAACACGUUGCGCUAACUUACGUCGCCGGAGGAGGUCCCUAGUGGCGGGAAUGGCGCAUGGCGGAGCUCGGUGGCGCUGCUCACCGGUGUUCGGCCGUCUCCAGCCGAGAGAGCGCGAACGGAGAGGCGCAGAGGGUUCGCGGCAGUGCGGUGACCAAAACACGCUCGCUACCGGGGAGAAAGAGGGUCGGGAAGGGAGAGAUUCGCGCAGACCGAGAGCUCGACAGAGCUGCAGCCAUGGCACGGCGAUGGAAUCUAGCCCAAUACCUUGACGCGGGCGGCCGAGAGUGAGCGCACAAGGUAGAGCUCGUCGAGGCGGAGCUGGGGGCGGUUUCAAUCGGAUGUGAGCGGCCGGGAUGGCGAGCUCAGCUGCACCGCCAAUGGCGCACGGCGGAGCACCGCCGCGGUUGCUGCUGCGCUCGUGAGUGGAGAAGAAGGGGAAGUGGGGAGGGGACAGAAUGGAGGCGGUCUGGGGGAGCAGGGCGGCGUCUCGGCCAGAAGGCGUGGUCGGACGGCCGUGGACCCCCGUCGCCGGUGUACGGCUGCCACGUGGUGGCCGUCGGCGGGGGAGAGGCGGGCGCGUCCGCGCGCGGGGAGGAGGAGGGGAAAACGGGCCACGCGGGCGAGCAGGCCGAAAUGGAGGCAGCCGGCGCAGCAGCGCCUGCCCCAUUUUCUCUUCUUUUUUUUGAAUUUCUUUUUCCCAAGGAGCUUAAAUGUGGAUUUUGAAGCUUUUGCAAAGUGUUUCAGCAUUUGGGGUAAAAUGAAAAUGUUCCCCACAAAAUACCCUACAACUUUGCUUCAAAGUGCAAGUCUAAAUUCCAAACAGAAUUUGAACUACAAAUCAAAACUAGUUAUAGGUUUUUAAUUAUACUCAUUUAGGCAAUUUUGUAAAAAAUUCAUUUCUCAAAUUCCAGGGCUCCAAAAAUGUCACAAAAUUGUUCUUAAUUCUUUUAAAACAUAGUUCAACUUAUUUUGGUCAUCACAAGCAAAUCUAAAGCAAGCAUACAAAUUUAUUAUAUUUAAUUCAUUUAAAUCAAUCACAUAAAAUCACAAUUUACAAGCUACUAUGCUUAUGUGAUGCUAUGGUCAUGCUAUGCUUGAUGAGGAUGCUUAUGAGUGAGCUUAUGAAAUUAAGUGCAUGCUUAACACCUAGGGUGUUACAACUGUUAUACCUAAUUUUAUGGAUAUAUUAUAGUCAUGAGCUUCACUCUUCUUGAAAGAUGCAUUUUAUUAAGAUGUCACUGUCGCCCUAGUGGUGCAUGUGUCCUUUUAACUAUGGUGUACGUGUACCCUUUGGCUAGAUGGACAUGGUCUCUUCUAUAGCCUCACUAUCUAGCGGGUCAUCCUCUUCAUCCAGGAUCUGCGAGGUGGAGCCUGAUUGGUGGAGAGGCUUGGGUGGCCGGCCCUACACCUAGGCGCCCGCCCAUGGCCUAGGGUAGGUGGGCCCCAACUUGCAUGGGGUGGCUUCCUCAGUCUUCUAGAUUGUUCUUGAGUUGUAGUUCGCGUAUUCUCUCUAUAUAAAUCUGACAUGUGGAUCAUCUUGGAUUGUUUUCAGCUAACACCCUAUAGAAAAAGAUAUUCACCAAAACUCGUGGAAUUCUGUUAGUGAUAACCCUAUAUCUACUAGGUGCUUGCAAAUAGGUCAAUUUUCAUGUUUAGUUGACAGUUAAAUUAGGAGUUAUCUACCGUCAACAUGGAGCGAUGAGGAAGAACUUGGUUGAAUCAUCUAGAGGAGUUGGCCUUUCUUCUUCAUGUCUCAGCUUCUCAACCUCAGAGGUGAGAGUAUAGAAUGUUACAUGCUUUUCUCUUGUCAAUAUUUUCUUGAUUCCUGAUAAUUAGUGGUUAACAAGAGAAUGCAUCUCCAUGGAGUGAGUGCUUUGAUCAUAGAUCAUAUUUUGCGGCAUCCUUCUUUCUCAUUGGCUACGAGUGAGUUGUAUCUCCCUUGUGCAAAAUUAUUGUGUCUCUCUUCAUAUGCAAUGUGAGUUCAUCUCAGGACUUUCCUAUUCUGAAUUUGGUAUUAAAAGUUUUCCUGCAAAGGUUAGUCGAACAAAAUAUCCAAUAUCUACUAUAGCAUACUAUCAGCUCAAAAAUCAACCUAGACACCAUGUCUAAUUUGAUUCAAGAAGGCAUUUUAACCAUGUGUAAUUAAAAGCCUUUGAGAGUAAGAUCACUACUCCUAAACAAGGCACCAAGCUUCAUUUAAGAGAUGCAUGAAACUACUCCAAACCUAAAUAUAUACUAUAGCAAACAAAAGUAACAUGAAUGCAUUAUAGAUGUUUACUCAAAUAGUGAUGAAAGAGCAUGAUUUUUGUUUAGCAAAUUGAGCAUAUCUUAAAGGUAGGGACAACCAAGAUGAUAUAGCAACAUGGCAAGAGAUGUAUCUAUGGAAACAUAUACCCCAAGCUUGACUUUUGCAAAAAUCAAGAUUGGUUGAAAGUAAUUCAGUGUUGCAUAAUGAUUGGUUGGACAUACCUUGCAUUUGUCACUCCUUCGAUCUUUGCUCCAAACAUGGUAAGGUUAGUGACAAAAAUACCCAAAAGAAUAUUUUCACAAUUAUAAUUCUAUGCUCAAUUAACAAGGGUAGCACAACAGAAAGGUGAACACUAAUGUCAUGGUCUAAACUAUGCUUGUUUUUAGGACACUAAGCUUGUCCUUGCGAAACCUUCAAGAUGUGGUUUGGUGAAGUGGUUUCCCUUCCAACACCAAUCUAAGUGCAUUACUCUCAAGAUUCACCACAAUGAGAUCUACAAUAUUUAUGAUAAGCAUAUAUGUCUACAACCACCCUUUCAAAACUUUAGGAAUAGAGAGCAUGAGGGGGUUGAAGAUCUCAUGUGGGGUAAUGUUAGAGAGACAAAUCUCUAAGUGAAUCAGGAGAUUUUUCAUAUGAGCAAGGAACUAAUGGGGUGUUAAUGUAGUAGCCUCCUUGAUCAUUGAAGUCUCCAUCAUUUUCUACUUCCAAGGGUGACUCGACAUAUAUGUCCAAAGAUUCCCUUGGGUCAUCUCUUGAAUUGAUCUUAUCUAAGGCCUUGUCUAUCAAUUCAAUGGCAAUAGCACAUAUGGUCUUGAUAAUUCCUAUGCAUGGGAUAUCUAGAUGGAUUUCUAGGAUCAUUAGGAGGUUUAGGAGAAAGAGCAUAGAACAAGCCAUAGUGGUCAAGGAUGGGUUUAGAGAUGGGUUCAUAUUCUAUAUCUAAUGUCGGCAUAGAAGGGUGUUGACGGUCCUUAAGUAUCAAAUAUAAUCAUCAAAUAAAUAAAGAAAAGGAUCCAAAUGCGAUCAACACCCAGACUUAGGGUUUUAUCUGAAAGAAUUCCAUGAGUUUUGGUGUUUGUCUAUUUCUACAGGGGGGUUAUCAGAGAAUAUGGAGGAAAGGUCCACACGUCGGGUUUACAUAGAGAUAUUAACAUGCAGCGCAAUUAUCCAACAUCUAGAAGAGUCCAAAAGCCACGGGAACGAGCGGGAGACCGAGCGGGCCCGGGGGCUGGGCGCCUGCCCUCCCCCCUUGGGUGCCCGCCCAAGGCUCUCAGCCAAUCAGGCUCCGUCUCACGGAUAAUGCUCCACCGACCUAAAGGAUUAAGGAAAACCAUGCGAUUAAGGUCGGUUUGAUCCGACGGCCCAUAUUCAUUUUGAGGGGCUAUAUAAGCAGGCCCCCUGGCCCUUGGAGGACUCAUUCUCAUUCCUCAAACCCUAAUUCAUUCAUCAGGAGGAGAGUCUCUGAUCAAGCCCUAGAGCCACCACAUCAACUAGAUCUCUAGUUUAGCAUAGCUACAUAGGAUUAGAACUAGAAGGAGUUAAUCUUCGAUUGGUUUCCGGAUAUGUCAAGAGGAUUCUUGGUACUUCCUCUGCUAUUCUUCAUUUGUUCAUCAUUGUUAUUCAAUGUUAUGAAUACAACUUUGUUCUAUUUCAAUAUAUUGAUUAUGACUUUGCUCUACUUGUUUAUAUUUGCAAUUAUAUCGUUCUUAGUUUAUCAUAGUUAUAUGCUUGGCUUAGUUAGGUUGGAAUUAUAUACAUGUUUAGGAUCAUAUAGCAUUUAUCCAUCGGAUCCAUGGGUAAAUGAUAUAUAUUGUGUAGGUGUGGUGCCUAUACCGUAUUUAUCUGCGAGUGUACCCUAUAUGCCGGAUCGCGGGGUAGUUCGUGGUGGUGACAGCUCCAUUGAUUCUUAUAUAGUCCCCCUCUCAUGUAUAGGGCAGGCAGAGCAACAUUAUUACAGGGGAGUGAUUGCUAUGUUUCUCAUCUUCCUUGAUAAUAUCACUCUGCAUAGGCGUAGCCCUUUCUCGCAAUGAUUGCCAAGUAUAAUUGCACUAACUAUGAUAUGCUAGACUUUAUAGUUAAGAAUAACUUAGGAAAUAUUCUUGUAGUUCAUCCUAAUCCCAUGCUAAUGACUUGCUAGAAUAUCUGUUGAGGUGCUUAUCAUUAUUAUAUGUGGCUAGUUAUGCUGAUCAGAUUAGUUAUCUUUGUCACCAUUCGUACUUUAUCUAUAUUUUAUGUGACAUUUAUCCCUGUAUGCAAGAGAUAGAUGAAUACUCUCUAUUACACAUGCAAUGAUAGAUACUCAGUUCCAUAUUUCAUUCCAUAAUCAACACUGAUGUUAGUAAUCCCUUCCCAGUGGUAAAAAUAUAAAUAACGAUACUUGGAAUACUUCCCGGUUAAAAUGCUACUUCGGUAUUAAUCUGUGCGCUUACAGAUCUCAUUUAUUAUUUAUACAGAAGAGCAAUUGCAUAUUUCAAUACCGCGUCUCUCAUGUCAUGCUGGGGAUGACAACUUGGCUUAAGUGGCAUGAGGGAUAGGUUUGGCAUUUUUUGGCGCCGUUAUCAGAAAUAGAAAACUAAGUCUACUUUUGGUAAUGACGUUAAGAAUGCCCAACAAGCAUUUUUGGCGCCGUUGUCGGGGAUAGAGAACUAAGUCUACUUUUGGUAAUGACGUUAAGAAUGCCCAACAAGCAUUUUUGACGCCUGUGGGGGUAUAAACCCCUAUACCCUCAUGGGCCGAUAUGGGCCGCACCAUCAGAGGUGGCUCGGCCCACAAGAUGAAGACGUGCGGCGCAUGACGCUGGUCGACGUGCACCGCAAGGCUACAAGAUAUUGUACCAAAUAGGAUAGUUUACUUGCAACUCUGUCCCUUCACGAUAUAUAAGGUGGGGUAGGGGUCCCCUAGAGGACAGAUCAUACACAUCGAAUCUCAACUCAACACAAUCCAAUACAAUCAGACGAAGGACGUAGGUAUUACGCCCACACGGCGGCUGAACCUGGAUAAAAACCUUGUCUGUGUCUUGCGUCACCAUCAAGUUCGUAGCUUGCGCACCGUCUACCGAUAAACUACUACCGUGGUAUACCCUAAGGUAGACUGUCGACUAGCUUUCGUCGACAGUGGCGCGCCAGAUAGGGGGCGUGCGUACAGCUCUCCCGACGAACAAGAUGGUCAUCGUUCCAGCUUCCGCGGCCGUGGCUGAAGGUCUCACGUUCACCAUCGGACAGAUCACUUGGACAACUCGUGAUGGCGGCCUUACGACCAUGACUUUGGGAGAAACCCAGAUUCAAUCUAGGACAGUAGAGGCGUCGACUCCGAUCACGCCAACCCCGAGGACCCGACCUCCACUCCCUCGCUACAGGGCAAAGCGAGUCGACAACUCGGAUCUUCUUCAAGCCCUCGAUCGCGCCGACCACAAGCUUCUCGAAGCCUCCAACCUGGUGGAUUCGAUUUCGCCCAGAAUCAUGCAAGCCAACAACAAACAAAUAAAGGGAAUACAUGGUCGGCACCGCUAUGCAAUACAGACUAGGCAUGCAAUCGUGAUGUCCUCGUCGCCCUUGAGAUUUAGUACCGGCUGGUAGGCUACACGCGGGAGUUUCUAGGCUUGCAGACAACGACGACGCCCUCCGACUACAUAAGGCCAUCCGAGUCGCCGAGCUGCCAGUGGGCCAUGUCGAGCCAUCAAGCGAGCCGCUGAGUGGGCCACGUCGAGCCGUCAAGCGAGCCGUAACGAGCCAUCAAGCGAGUCGCUAAACAAGCCACGUUGAAGCAUUCACGUAACCGUCGAGCCAGCCAUCUAAAUCACAUCUAUCUCCUCGGAUAUCAUGACUCGCCGGCUCCUCUACUUUACUCGGCAUCGAUCAAGGCUCAUGAUAGGACUCCGUCACUACGAGCGAUGGACCGUGGUCACGAUCAUGUAUGAAGGGUGUAUGAUCUACGAUGCUAUACAUACGGGAGUAUAUACAUAUAUCCACAUCAGCAUGCAUGCACAGAGAUCGCAAGCACAAACAUGCAUAGUCGUUGACCUGUUGACAAUCGUCUACGACUCUGACACAUACAUGUCCAAGAUGUCAAGCAAACUGAUGAGCUCUGUCUAAAGCUGAACGAGCGAGCUGCUCGGCCUACUUGCUCAGACCACAGUCGCGUUGCAAUGAUAAUCACCGUGAAGAAUGGCGCUACGACAACUGCGACUACCGUUACGACAACACGUCGAAAAACGAGGACCAGAUAAUUUUAUCGCCACCGACCAGACUUUCGUCUAAAGAUAAGUGUACUUCUAAUAUUUUAUUUAAUUUUGGCAUAAUAUUUUUUAUUAUCCUUCAAAACAACUUUUUGGUUAGCCGACUAGUUUUUUCUCCUACACGAGUUUUCCAGAGCCGGUACUGUCUCCGACUCCUCCCUACAUGUGCAUGAGAUCCGCCCUCUGCGUUCCAGGUGGUCGGCAGUAGCUCUCUGGCGAGGCUGGCAAUUCCACGCGUGUCUAGGUUCCACACCUCAUGCUGAUUGUUGGUUAGACCAGAGCUGGUACAAGCUCUAGGAUGAACUAACUACUCGUGCUAAUUUUAUAACAAAAAAUCUAAAACUUAUCUCAAUGCUGAUUUUUAUCUAGAGUUUAUUUAUACAUCAUGUACUACCUAUUCUCUAUAUUUAUUUUUCAGGAGUUUGGCCCAGUCAACAAGCUACGCUCGGGGACUCGUCGACUAUUCCCUACGCUAUGCUCGGGGACUGCUCCGACCACCGAGCAUAUUUACGUUCCUAACCACACUCGGGGACUUGUCGACUAGUCUCUAAGCUGUGCUCGAAGACUGUGCUGACCACCGAGCACGUUUACGUUCCUAACCACGCUUGGGGACUUGUCCACCAGUCCCUACGCCGUGCUCGGGGACUGUGCCGACCACCAAGCACGUUUACGUUCCCGACUAUGUUCGGGGACUGGUCGACCAGUCUCUAUGCCGUGCUCGGGGAUUGUGCUGACCACCGAGCACGAUUACAUUCCCAACCGUGCUCGGGAACUCAUCAAUCACUCCCUGCGCUGUACUCGGGACUUACUUUGAUUACUCUCCAACUACAAUUUGGGGAUUGCUUUUCCCAGUUACAUAUGAAGUGGACUGGAUAAUUUUAAUUUUUUAGACCUUGCUACAAGGCUCAUACUUCGCAUUUCAGCAAGCUCGGGGACUACAUCGGUACGAUGCAUCUGGCGAUGCAUCUCAGUUUUAGAAUUUCUAUGAAGACUUUUUUAACCCUGGCACCACGUGCCUACGUCACCUACUACCAGGCUCAGGGACUAAGUGGGCACACUUCACCUUGCGGUGAACAUGCUUGCUUUUUGAAAGUCUGUACUUUUCAGAAAAGUAAAGUGGAUACACUUCACCAGGAAUGAAAUCUUUUUUGAUUAAGAGCACCAUACAUUCUUCGAACAACCUGCUUGUUCGAUGUCAAUGUUGAUCAACUAUCUUUUGAGUUGGUUAAAAUACCGUUGCAACUGUUUGGGCGACUUUCCUGCUUAUUGAAGACGUCAAGCCUCAUUGGUCGAAGAAGCUCAAGACGACGUGUUACAUCACAAUACAUGGUGCUCGGGGACUAGCUGUGGGGGUAUAAACCCCUAUACCCUCAUGGGCCGAUAUGGGCCGCACCAUCAGAGGUGGCUCAGCCCACAAGAUGAAGACGUGCAGCGCAUGACGCUGGUCGACGUGCACCGCAAGGCUACAAGAUAUUGUACCAAAUAGGAUAGUUUACUUGUAACUCUGUCCCUUCACAGAUCAUACACAUCGAAUCUCAACUCAACACAAUCCAAUACAAUCAGACGCAGGACGUAGGUAUUACGCCCACACGGCGGCCGAACCUAGAUAAAAACCUUGUCUGCGUCUUGCGUCACCAUCAAGUUCGUAGCUUGCGCACCGUCUACCGAUAAACUACUACCGUGGGUAUACCCCAAGGUAGACUGCCAACUAGCUUUCGUCGACAGCCCCGUUGCCGGGGAAGGUUGAUUUAUUAACAAGGAAUGAAUACGGAAUUAUGAGUCAUCAUUCGCAUCACUAAUAUGAUUGAGAUCAUCAAAUCUUUCGUAUAGCUUUACCCCUAUACUUUUCUAUUUUUAUUAUUUUAUGCAGAGUGAUGUAUGAAUAGAAUACAUCUUCCAAAAAAUUUUGUUGACGACUGUUGACAGUCCUUAAGUACCAAAUAUAAUCAGCAAAUAAACAAAGAAAAGGAUCCAAAUACAACCAACAUCUAAACUUAGGGUUUUAUCUGAUAGAAUUCCACGAGUUUUGGUGUUUAUCUAUUUCUGCAGGGGGUUAUCAGGAGAUAUGGAGAGAAGGCCCACACGUCGGGUUUACAUAGAGAUAUUAACGUGCCGCGCAAUUUUCUAUCAUCUAGAAGACUCCAGAAGCCACGGGAACGAACGGGAGGCCGAGCGGGCUCAGGGGCAGGGCGCUGCCCACCCCCCUUGGGCGCCCGCCCAGCUACAGAGUCCAAUCAGGACUCUCUUUCAGGAUGAUGUUCCACCGACCUAAAGGAUCAACAAUAACCGUUCAAUCAAUGUCGGUUUGAUCCGACGGCCCAGAUUCACUUGAGGGGACUAUAUAAGCAGACCCCCUGGCCCGUGAAGGAGGCACCUCUUGAUCAUUAUUCAUUAUUCAUAGACAGAGCAAAAGCUAGGGUUUAGAGAUGAGAGCUCUCCUCUCUUCUCUAAACUAGAGUAGAUCUAGAUAGUAGCGAGAUGGAGAGCGAAGGAGGAUUAGAGGAGAGGCCGGCCUGUCGGUUCUUCCUCCAGUUGUACUUUGCCAUGAUCAGGCUCUAAUCAAGCUUGCUCAUGGGAUGACUCUGGUAAUCUACUUUUAAUUCAUUAUGCAAUUACUAAUCAUGUAUGUUCUGGUUCACAACUCUUUUGAGUACUUCUAAUCUAUAGGACCCUAUAGGUUAGAGUUGUAGUAUAGGUGUAAGCAUGGUGCUUAGACCUAGAUUACUUGUGGAUAUCCCCUGUCUAGCUGGAUCAUGUGGUAGGCCGCGUAGGUGGCAGUUACGUUGGUCCUCUGUAGUCCACCUCUCGUUAAGAGGACGGGUAGGGUUUAUCGGCCUAAGGAUAAGCAUCCUUUGUAGUGUAUUCUUAUCACGUGGUUCGUCCCAGACAUAGACAUACCCCUUUGAAGUAGAGAAACCAUAGUUAUCCUCUCUAUUCUGCUAAAAUCGCCCAUAUAUUAGAUUGAUCUACUCUCUAUUCCCAUAUUAUCACUCACUGUUAUCUUACCUUUAAUAUUGUUCUUAUUCGAUUCUACCAUCUUUCCUAUUUACACUUAUUUACUUAUCUUGGUUAAGUUAGAGCGUAGAUCAGUUCUCCCGUUUCCCUGUGGAUACGAUAAAACCUUUAACCGGGUAGAAGCUUCAAUGGUAUCCGUGCGCUUGCGGAUUAUCUGUGUGCGUAUAAAUACCAUAGUACACUCUUGCCAUGUUGGGGAUGACAACCUAGUAUUCAAGUGGUGUUAGCAAGUGUCAACAAGCAUUUUUGGCGCCGUUGCCGGGGAAAUGGUUGCUGAGUUGACUAUGAACUAGCUUAAUCAUUUUCUAAUAUAUAUAUAUAUAUAUAUAUAUAUAUAUAUAUAUAUAUAUAUAUAUAUAUAUAUAUAUAUACUUCUCCUUUUAUCUUUUGCCUUAUCUCUGCUAUUCUUUCUUCUUAUCUAAUCCUUGAUCUUUGGUCUAUCAUGAAUUCAAACAUGUCUAUCUACGAAUUCCAUAGACCUACGGGCACACAUCUCGAACCACCAAAAUCUUCAAAGCCUAUCAUAGCAUCUAGUUUUGAGAUAGACCCCGAAUACAUAGAUUUUGUUCAAAAACAACCUUUCUCAGGAGAAGGUGAGGAAAACCCAUACACCCACCUAAGAGAGUUUUAUCGAGUCUGUGACCUCCUUCGCAUAGAAGACAUGUCCGAUGAGACCCUUAAAUGGAAGCUCUUUCCGUUCUCUUUAAUAGGAAAAGCUAGACAUUGGUACAAACUCAAAGUAGGGAGUGUUCAUGGAGAUUGGAAGGAGUUACAUAAUAGUUUUCUUUUAAAAUAUUUUCCAAUCUCUAAAGUGGCGGAACUUCGGCGUGAGAUUAUUUCUUUUAGACAACUGGAAGAAGAAUCUCUUGGCAAAUCAUGGGACCGCUUUAUUAACCUUACUCUCACUGGCCCAAAGCUUUCUAUUCCACAAGAAGUCCUUCUAAUUUACUUUUUUGAGGGCCUUAGUAUGGAAAAUAAGCAAACCCUUCAUGCGGCCUCUGGAGGAUCUUUCCACCACCUGUCCGCUAGUGAAGCUUGGAAUUUGAUUGAUUUAAUGAGCGGAAAGUCUCCUAGCUUUUAUAUCCCUGAGAAAGAGAAAGAACCAGUUCACAACCACUUCAAUUCCAAACUUUAGCUAUCGAUCCUAAACCAUCAAUACCCCAAAAUUCUCCAAGGGAGGAAGAAAUUCCGACCUUAAAUCUUUUAGAUAUUGAUGGUUUAGACUUCUGGUUCCAUAAGAGACCUUCAAGCAGGGAUAAUCUAAGUCCUUGCAAGCCACGGGAAGAAGGCAGAGGCCGAAAGGGGCCAGGCCCAGGGCGCCCGCCCCCUGUUGGAUUCCGUUCGGGACUCUCUUCGCACACGAUGUCCCACCGACCUAUUGGAUCAAGGAAAACAUAGCACCACCUCGCCUACCGACCCAAAAAUGCAUAGAGGAGGAGGACUAUAUAAGGAGACCCCCUUGGCCCCUGGAGAAGACAAGAAGUUAUCAUAGAGAUUGAGGGGUGCCCUCGAAGGAAAACCUCUUCUCUAAAUAAUAUUUCUUUUUAGGCUUAGCAACCAAUGUAAGUAGAAAUAGAUCUUCUAUUUUCUACUAGAUUGAGAGAGAUAGAGUGGAGGUGUAGAUCGGAGGAAGGCCGGCCUGUCGGUGUCUACUCCGAGUUGUACCUACGGGAUCAAGUCUCCUAACCCGAGGCUUGCUUCUAAGAUUCUUCAGUAAUUCGACUUCUAAUUCUAGUAAGUUCUUGUUUUAUUGUUCUUUGGUUUAUGAGUUUACUUUAAUCCUCUUCCGGUUGAGUAUUAGAGUAAUCACUUGCUAGCGUAAACGUGGUGUUUAGGCUAGGGUACUCAUAGAUAUCCGCUGACUAGCUGGACCGUGGUAGUAGCGAGGAACGUGACAUUUCCGAGUUACCUUUGUAUCCCAUAUCUUGUUAGCAGGACGGGUAGAGUUUAUAGGUGCGGGUCGAACAUCCUUUGUGGUGUCUAGAUUCCGUGAGCCUCCCCAAUAGAACAGUAGAUCAUCCUUACCAAGGUUAGAACGAGACUACGGUUGCAGUCUUCUCUAUACAUCACUCACAUCGAGAAACAUUCUUUGUAGCCUAAAGGAGUAGUAGCAAUAGAUUUGGUUAGUCAGAUGCACCCUUUCUCCCAGUGGUAAAAAUAUAAAUACGAUAACUCUGGAUAACCUCCCGGGUGAAAUGCUCACCGAUAUCCGUGCGCUUGCGGAUCAUUUCCUAAUUGCGUUACCAAAUAUCAACAUAGAACUCUAGCAUCUCUAGGAGCAAGAUUAAUAGCAGCUCAAAACCUUCCCAUAUCAUAUCCAUCAACUACCUAGACUUAGAUCAAGCAUUCCCAACCCAAAAGUUUUAGGCUCAGAGCAAAAUCUUAAGUCUAAACAGUUGUGUCUAAAACUUAGGCGAGUACAAGGUUGAAAACUAGGUACUUGCAAAGAAUUACGGUUGAGCAACUAUGCAUUAUCUUCAUGUAAGAGUUUAUUCCAGAGGUUCAUUUUAACAGAUUCAUUGAGAUCUCUCCAUAGCUAGCAAAAUUAAUUAUGAAAGAUAAAAUAUUUAUUGGGUUAGAAGGUUAUUCAUCUUUUUAUGUUGUCACAACGCACUAGGAAUAAAUAGAUAAGUGAGUAAGGGAUACUUAGCUCAGUAUACGGGGGUUGCUCUCCUCCAAGCUGGAUGUUGACAUAGUCUGCUGAGAUUGCUGAUAGGUAGUGAAGUAGUACUCAUCCUUCUAGAGUGUCAUGGGCAUUUGCUGUUAGAAACAACACUUGUCUGCUCUGAACAUUACUUCGACUGGAGACAGGAUGUCCUUCUUCCUAUUAGUUCUUCUUGAUCCUUUAAAGCCUAUGAAGCUCAAAUAGACAACAAAGCUUGUAGAACUAAUUAAGCAUUAGUAAUAAACCUCUAAGCCUUGAGAGUCUAGAACUUUUUUAUAUCCAUUUAUAUUUUAGCAAGAUCAAUAUAUUUUUAUGCUUUUUAUAUUUAUAGUAUGCAAACAGAAAAAUAAAGAUGCUAAAACUUAUUUUUAUGCCUCCACAGUCGAUUAGUAUGUGAUAUGUAGCAUUAAAUACAUGGGGCUUAGCAUUUUCUAGAUGCAAUGCAAUACAUAUUUAAUUUCUUUUCUAAUGCAGCAAUAAUAAAGAAGCAACUACUAAUGCAAUUAAGAGAAGUAAAUAUGCUAAAGAAAAAUGCAAAUAAAUACCAAGUUACCUCUUAGCACGGCGUUCGGUGAUUUUAAAUCCUCCGAACAUGACCUUCUUGUUCGCCCACUGAUUGAGGGGUGCAUCGGACGGUGCCACAGGUGAUGUGUCCUGUGCAGGAUUUGAUCCUGAGUUUACCUUUGGUUUCCAUACCUACCCUAUAGGUGAUGGUGACUUGGAGGGGAGAGUGUCUGGAUUCACUAACUCUUCUUCUACUGGUACCUCCUCUUUGACGACGUUCUCCUCGUUAGGGUAUCGAUCUUUGUAUCUUGAAACCUCUCCUUCAUAGUUGGCCUAUCUGUCUACAACAUUCUUCUUCUAGUGGUGGGUAUGUCGCCUUCUCCUCGACCUAUUCUUUUUGGGAUCUUUCUCAAUUAUAUAGUUGCUAUUGAAAUAAAGGCGUACCUUUUCUAAGGGGAAUUGGAAAUGGACCUCCCCUGUUCCAAUGUAUAUGAUGGCCUUGGUGGUGUUGAGGAAUGGUCUUCCUAAGAUGAUGGGUGGAUCACAUUCAUCUUCUCCUAUUUCGAUAACUAAGAAGUCAGUGGGAACAUAGUGGUCGUCAAUCUAGACAGGGACGUUUUUGACUAUCCCUUCCACAAAGCGAAAGGACUGGUCCGCCAACUAUAACUACACAUAGGUAGGGUCCAUAGGUAUAGUACCAUAUAGAAAUUCAUAUGUUACCUUGGCCAUUUUGUUGAAGCCCGAUCCGGUGUCACAGACAGUGUUGUAGAAGUAACAUCUGUUGAUGGAGCAUAUAAUGGUCGGGACACCUGGAUCGUCCUUCUUGAUCAGAUCUAGAGACUUUAGUAGGUGGUCAUACUCCAUGUGGAUUGCAGUGACCAUCUAUGCUAUCUGAAUCUUCUAGGUCUUUUGUUUGCCCUUGUUCUUGGUCUUAUCCUUGUUCUGGGUGUUGCUCUUGUUCCUACUGCCGACAGUUUCCUUCUGAGUACGGAAUGAUAAUGUCCUAUUCUUGAAAGAAAAGGCUUCCCUGUUGCCCUUGCUGUUAAAAGUAAUCAUGGCAUUAAUAGGUCAAAUCAACUUCAGUGUGACCUUCGGCGAUCUUCGAGUUCCGUGUGAGUACCUCUUGGCCAUGGCUUCCGGGCAUAUCGCUAUUGUCAGGACCAAAGUGCUCGAGUUAUCAUCCUUGUCGAUUAAUAGGUCAAAUCAACUGGCACAUCUUGGAUAUUGGAUUGAGUAUUAGCCCUUUGUGUUUGCAGAUCCACUUUUGCAUCAACAACAAUAACGACCACCACAACAGAGAGGCCCAUCAUGACGGUCAUGGUCGGGACGCUGGCCGCAAAUGUCGUGCUUAUAGGCCAGGAUACGACCAUGACCAGGAAGUCGAUCAGGGAGAAGGUUACUGUUGAUGCAAAAGUAGAUCUGCAAACACAAAGGGCUAAGACCCGAUUCAAUGUUAAGGCGUGCCAGCCGAUUUAACCUUACAAUCGACAAAGGUGAUAAAUCGAACACUUUGGUCCCGACAACAGCGAUGCGCCCGAAUGCCACAGCCAAGUGGUAUUCACGUGGAACUCGAGAACUCGUUGAGUAUGACUCAAAGAAUUCUUAAGAACUCAUAAGUAAAAGAAAAUAUGCAAAUUGACGAAGCCGUCGAAAGUAGAUGCGAAAAUAUAUGUAAAACUUUGUGUAUGAUUGAUUGGAUUGUCUCUUACAUCACUGCUAGGCUUAUAUUUAUAACCUGUCCUAAAGAGUUACAACCAAGUACAACUAUGAUUCUAAUUCCAAACUAAACAGAACUCGUACAUAAAACAAACUCUAACAAUUAUAGAAAAUAAUAAUUCUAUCUAUCCUGGGUGAUCGACACACCACCAUUACUUCUCUGACGAUCCCCAAGUAUUCCUUCACCAUCGGCAUAUCGUCCUUCAUCGGCAUCAGUAGUCGUCAUAUCAACUAUCGGCAUUGAUCAACUACCAUUCCCGGACUUAAUUAUAUCCAGUUGCUUUAUCAUCGGUAUUAUAAGCCAUUGGCAACUUCCUUGUCAACCAGUCACCACUUUUCCAUCUGCCGAUCCCAGCUUCACUAAUCUUUCCUGAUACGUGUCCAAAAACGGUGUCAACAGUUACGAUCUCCAACUUAGGCUCCCCUGCAAGGACAUCCGUGAUCACAUUAACAAACGUAUCAAUGACAGAGCCGCGCACAAAAACAUCUACCGUAUCUAAUAUGAUGUUGUGCACGGCCCUCCCAGGUUGAUGUAGUUCUCCCCACACCUUCGACAAGUCGUCUGGCCACACAACUUCAAGCUAGAGAAGCUCAAGAAGUAUGACGGCAAGGAGAACCCUAAAAAUUGGAUCACCCUCUAUGAGAUCGUCGUUCGAUCAGCAACGAGGGAUGAGCAUGUAAUGGCAAAUUAUUUCCCAUUGUCCUUGAUCAAGCCAGCCACCAAUGGCUCCUCGGCUUGCCUAAAAACUCAUUUGAUUCAUGGGAAGAGCUACACCAAGCAUUCAUCGAAAACUUCAUAGCUACUUGUGAGCAACCAGGCAACAAGUACGACCUCGAGAGAAUACAGGAUCGCAAAAAUGAACCACUACGCGACUACAUCCGAUGCUUCUCGAAUAUGCAUCUUAAGAUUCCGAAAAUCUCCCAUGAUGAAACAGUCUCCGCUUUCAUUAAAGGUCUUCGUUUUCACGAAACUCUUUGGAGCAAGCUACUUCAUAAGAGGCCGAGCACAGUCGCCAAGCUCCUUGCUAUUGCAAAAAAUUACGCUAAUACUGAUGAUGCGGAGAAAUUGAUUAGACAAAGACUUCAGAUGAAGUCAACAGAACGACUAGCCUCCCCGACAAGACGACAAUCAAGACCACCGCGGGCAGUUUGACAGUCACACUUCUCGCCGCAACGAUAAUUGGGACCUCCGAGAAGGAUGGGACAGGCACCGAGACCACCGUGAUGAAUUCAGGGGUAAAAGACCCAGUGACAACGAUCAUGAGGUCAACACAGUCAAAUGACUCACUAGUCGUCGUGACUAUCAGGAGGACUAUAGCAAGACCUUGAAAGGACCAUGCCAACUCCAUCCCAAGUCUAACCACACAAUGGAAGAAUGUUGUGUCCUCAAAAGUAUUUACAUGCAGCAGGCCAUCCAAGGUGACACCGCCAAAUCCACCAGCAAACACGAUAGGCGCAACCAAGAGGAUGAGGACGAGGACCAAGACCGAGAUCCACGCCAUUAGUAUGUGUGGGGGUAUAAACCCCUAUACCCUCAUGGGCCUAUAUGGGCCGCACCAUCAGAGGUGGCUCGACCCACAAGAUGAAGACGUGCGGCGCACGACUGGUCGGCGUGCACCGCAAGGCUACAAGAUUUUGUACCAAAUAGGAUACUUUGCUUGUAACUCUGUCCCUUCAGGAUAUAUAAGGAGGGGCAGGGGUCCCCUAGAGGACACAUCAGAUCAUAUUCUCUCAGCACAAAUCAAUACAACCAGACGCAGGACGUAGGUAUUACGCCAACUCGGCGGCCGAACCUGGAUAAAAAGCUUGUCCGUGUCUUGCGUCACCAUCAAGUUCGUAGUUUGCGCACCGUCUACCGAUAAACUACUACCGUGGGUAUACCCCAAGGUAGACUGCCGACUAGCUUUCGUCGACAGUGGCGCGCCAGGUAGGGGGUGUGCGUACAGCUCUCCUAGACGAACAAGAUGGCCAUCAUCCCAAACUUCGUGGCCAUGGCGGGCGGCUUCACGUUCACCGUCAGCUUCAACAACUUCACCGCCAUGACCACGGAGGAGGUGCAGAUCCGAUCUGCGCCAACCACUUCUUCAUCGACGUCGGCGGCGGCUUCAACCACGCUGGCUAUGACUCCGACUACUCCAGCAACGCCUCCGACCACGCCGACAACGCGUCACCCGCUUCCCUGCUACAAAGGGAGGCAGAUCGACAACACCGACCUGCUCGGGCCAUCGACCAAAUUGUUUAGCCUACUUGCUCUGACCACCAGUCGCAAUAAUAAUCGCCGCGAAGAACGACGCUACGACAACAGCAUGACAAGUCGAAAAGCUCGAGGGCCGGACAAUUUUGUCGUCACCGACUAGACUUUCAUCCAAAGAUAAGUACACUUCUAAUAUUUUAUUUAUUUUUGGCAUAAUAUUUUUAAUAUUAUUAUUCUUCAAAACAACUUUUUAGCCGACUAGUUUUUUCUCCUACACGAGCUUUCCAGAGUCGGUACUGUCUCCGACUCCUCCCUACACGUGCACGAGAUCCGCCCUCUGCGUUCCGGGUGGUCGGCAGUAGCUCUCUGACGUGGCUGACAAUCCUACGCGUGCCUAGGUUCCGCACCUCAUGCUGAUUGUUGGCUAGACCAGAGCUGGUACAAGCUCUAGGAUGAAUUAACUACUCGUGCUAAUUUUAUAACAAAAAAUCUAAAACUUAUCUUAGUACUGAUUUUUUAUCUAAAGUUUAUUUAUACAUCAUGUACUACCUAUUCUUUAUAUUUAUUUUUCAGGGGUUUGGCCCAGUCGACAAGCUACGCUCGGGGACUCAUCGACUAUUCCCUAUGCUGUGCCCGGGGACUGCUCCGACCACCGAGCAUGUUUACGUUCCCAACCACGCUCGAGGACUUGUCGACUACUCUCUAUGCUGUGCUCGAAGACUGUGCCGACCACCGAGCACGUUUACGUUCCCAACCACGCUCGGGGACUUGUCCACCGGUCCCUACGCCGUGCUCGGGGACUGUGCCGACCACCGAGCACUAUACGCUCGGGGACUGGUCGACCAGCUCACCAAUUUAAGAACUUGGGGACUGCACCGACCACCGAGCACUAUACGCUCGGGGACUGGUCGACCAGCCCACCAAUUUGAGAAUUCGGGGACUGUACCGACCACCGAGCGUUAUAUGCUCGGAGACUGGUCGAUUAGUCUAUUCAAUUGCAGACGAGCAUGAUAUGCUCGGGGACUGGUAAAUUCAAUUUUUUAGACCUUGCUACAAGGCUCAUACUUCGCCUUCCAGCAAGCUCGGGGACUACAUCGGUACGAUGCAUCUGGCGAUGCAUCUCAGUUUCAGAAUUUCUUUGAGGACUUUUCUUUUGACCCUGGCACCACGUGCCUACGUCACCUACUACCAGGCUCGGGGACUAAGUGGGCACACUUCACCUUGCGGUGAAUAUGCUUGCUUUUUUGAGGUCUAUACUUUUUAGAAAAGUAAAGUGGGCACACUUCACCAGGAAAAAAUCUUUUUUAGAGCACCAUGCAUUCUUCGAACAACCUGCUUCUUCGAUGUCAAUGUUGAUCAACUGUCUUUUGAGUUGGUCAAAAUACCGUUGCAACUGUUUGGGCGACUUUCCUGCUUAUUGAAGACGUCAAGCCUCACUGAUCGAAGAAGCUCAAGACGGCGUGUUACAUCAUAAUACAUGGUGCUCGGGGACUAGCUGUGGGGGUAUAAACCCCUAUACCCUCAUGGGCCUAUAUGGGCCGCACCAUCAGAGGUGGCUCGGCCCACAAGAUGAAGACGUGCGGCGCACGACUGGUCGGCGUGCACCGCAAGGCUACAAGAUUUUGUACCAAAUAGGAUACUUUGCUUGUAACUCUGUCCCUUCAGGAUAUAUAAGGAGGGGCAGGGGUCCCCUAGAGGACACAUCAGAUCAUAUUCUCUCAGCACAAAUCAAUACAACCAGACGCAGGACGUAGGUAUUACGCCAACUCGGCGGCCGAACCUGGAUAAAAAGCUUGUCCGUGUCUUGCGUCACCAUCAAGUUCGUAGUUUGCGCACCGUCUACCGAUAAACUACUACCGUGGGUAUACCCCAAGGUAGACUGCCGACUAGCUUUCGUCGACAGUAUGUCAAUCCAAGUGAUGUCGUCCACUCCAUAUUUUGUGGCAAAGUGUCAAUUGAAUCCAAGAGAGUGAAAACUCCUCAGAAGGGCAUGCCUGAAUGUAGACAGCUCUGAUGGUCUCGUCGUUGAUCCAAAGUUUUCUGCCUGGUCUCAUCGAGAGAUAUCCUUCAUCAGACAAGAUCAAUGGAAGAAACCGCAACCCAAGCCAUCGACCUCUUGAUCCAGAUGGUAGAAACCACAAUCCAAGCAACACAACCCCCCUCUGACCAGCUUGAGAUCCCCGAGCAGUAGGUCCCAAGGAACAACAUGAAGUCCAAGGAGCAAAAAGAAGUCCAACUAGUCAACAAUGAUCCUGAGAAGAUGGCUCUCAUCGGAGCCACUUUGGAUCCUAAAUAGGAAGACGCGCUCGUUAGGUUUUUGAGGGACAAAGUGUUUUCACAUGCAAACUUGUAGAUAUGCUCGGUGUCCCCUGCCACCUGAUCAAGCACUCCUUGAAUGUCUCGAAGACUGCAAGACCCAUCAAGCAGAAACUACGAUGGUUCACUCGUGACAAAAAGGAGGCCAUUAGGACAGAGGUAACAUGGCUUUUAGCAGCUAGAAUUAUUAAAGAAGUGUAUCAACCGGAUUGGCUUGCUAAUCCGGUACUUGUAAGAAAAAAGAAUAAUCAAUGGAGAAUGUGUGUUGAUUACACUGAUCUCAACAAACACUGUCCUAAGGACCCCUUUGGUCUCCCUCGUAUUGACGAGGUGGUCGAUUCAACGGUCGGAUGCGAACUCUUGUCUUUUCUUGACUGCUACUCUGGUUAUCAUCAGAUCUCUUUAAAGGUUGACGACCAGAUUAAAACUUCCUUUAUCACCCCCUUCAGGGCAUAUUGCUACACGACCAUGUCUUUCGGACUAAAAAAUCCUGGAGCCACAUAUCAAUGUGAAAUCCAGAAAUGUCUUCACGAUGAGAUAUGGGAUGACCUUGUCGAAACUUAUGUCGAUGACGUUGUCAAGAAAACCAGAGACGCUAGCACUCUGAUCAACAAGCUCGACCGAACCUUCAAAGCCAUCAAUGGAUAUAAAUGGAAACUUAACCCUAAAAAAUGUAUUUUUGGGGUUCCCUCUGGCAUACUGCUCGGUACCGUCAUCAGCCGAGAUGGCAUAAGCCCAAAUCCGUCUAAAGUCAAGGCAGUUCUCGACAUGCGACCACCAAGGAACAUAAAAGACGUACAGAAGCUCACCGGGUGUAUGGCUGCUCUUAGCCGUUUCAUAUCUCAACUUGGAGAAAAAGAGCUUCCCUUCUUCAAAUUACUAAAAGCAUCUGAAAAGUUUACCUGGAUAGAGGAGGCCGAUAGAGCAUUUACACAACUUAAAGCUUUCCUUACGUCUCCUCCAGUACUUAUCGCGCCUCAGCCAAAUGAGGUCCUACUUCUAUACAUCACGACCAUUGAUCGCGUUGUCUCAAUGGUGCUUGUGGUCGAGCAUGAAGAGCUAGGCCACAUUUACAAGGUCCAGCGACCAGUAUACUUCAUAAGUGAAGUCCUAAAUGAGUGCAAGACUAGAUAUCCCCAGAUACAGAGGCUGAUCUACACCAUUAUGAUUAUUUCCAGAAAACUAAAAUGAUAUUUUGAUGGACACCACAUCAUGGUAACUACAAGUUUUCCAUUUGGAGAUAUCCUGCACAACAAGGAUGCAAAUGGUUAGAUAGUAAAGUGGGCCAUGGAGUUGUGUCCCUUUUCGAUGGAUUUUCACAGUGGCACAACCGUCAAAUCACAAGCUCUCAUGGACUUGAUCACGGAAUGGACUGACCUCAAUGCACCCCCAACACACGAUACCACCGAGUAGUGGCAAAUGUUCUUUGAUGCAUCACUGAACAUCAACGGGGCUAGAGCCUGUAACACCCCAGUGUUAUGGUUGCAUCCUUUCACAUACAUAACAUAAUCAUGAUCAACUUCAUAAGCAUACCAUGAUCAUCAUUCACCUUGGGUCAUGUCAUUUUAUGCAUAAGUGUGGUUUAACUUGUUUAAUUAUGCUCUCUAUGCUUAUGUUUGUUUAUGCCAUGCUCUUGUUUGUGUCCUAGGCCUUGGUAAAUAGUUCAUCUAUGCUUAACUCAACCUUUGGAACAAUGUUCAUGUUGGUCAUAUCUUCAAAUUAUGUCUCUAAGUCAUAAUUUCACUCAUAGGCUCUACAAACCUCUUUUGCUUAGGCUUUUAAAAAGUGUUUCAUAAAAUAUUUGCAUGUUAAAGCUUCCUAAAGCAAAGUUAUAGAAAAUGUUAUAAGGAACAGAAGUUGUUUUAUGUCCAUCUCAUGAAAAUGAACACAACUUGCUCAAAAAGGGCUCACAAGGCAGAAUUGGUGGCUGUUUUGACACUUAGCAAAAUUUUGCCAAGUCCUGGCGCCACCAGUUUGCCAGAAGGUUAUUGGAAGCUCUAUAUCAUUUCAUCUAGGCCGAAUUGGUCUUUGCUCCAGUUGACAAACUUAUUGAACUCAGUUAGUACUCCAAGAUUGUCAACUACACCAUCUCCUAAUUCGCCACAGUUUGGAAGAUAAUCAGCGCCAAAGUACCUCUAUCAGUCUUUGAAACCAGCUCUGAAUGGACACCGUCACCGUCAACGUGGCCGACCGGCGGCAGCGCUGAGGGCGUGCAUGACCUCCACGGCGUCGCCCUCGAGCUCCUAGACGCAUCCAUUCUCUCCCUCCCGCCCUUCUUGCGCAGAAACUCGGCCGCAGCGGAGGCGCCAUCGUCGGGCUCGCUCCGGCGAGCUCGAGCGCACCCCACACUGCAUCGCCGUCCACCAAAGUUCGCCCACAGCUCUUCCGUGCUCCGCUCUCCAACCUCCACCCUCAAGCUCGCCGUGAAACCCUCUGGUGAGCCGACAUUUUCAUCUUUCCCCAAAUCGGGUCGCCGAAACAGUUUUCUCCGGCGAGCCUAAUGCUGAGCUCCUCGGAGCCACUCGUCCUCUCUAGUUGGGUUCUCGGGGUAGCUUAGGACCUUAGCUAGCAUCUGCGCCACUUGGGAGACACUCUACCGCGCUCACCAUCACCGGACACGACGCGCAGCGCCGCCGUGUUUCCGCCGGAGCUCGGUCCUCUCGUGGCCAGCCCUCUCCACAUCGUUUCAAGCUAAGUCACCUACCUAGAAAGCUUCGCCGUAGUUCACUGGUGCUGUAGGAAACCCCAGGGCACGCUCUACAGGCCUGAGAACGCCUGCGCAUCGCCGAGCACCUCCGCCGAGCCACCAUGGUCGACGGCAAGCCCCUUCCGGUGUCUCCGCCGUGGGGAAAAGGCGGUCAAUUGGUUCGCAAGUGACCUGGGAUCACGUUCGUGUCCUCGGUUUGGGUGGAGACCUCGCUGUCGCGGAGAAAUCGCCGGCGAACUUCGUCUCGGUCGAGGGGAAGAAGAACCUGACAUGCGGGUCCCGCUGUCAGUGGCUCAACGGCUCCCUCCUCUCUUUUAUUCAAAAUCCAGAUUUCUUGCAAUCUUGCAAAAAUUAUAUCUCCAGUUUGUGAGCUCCAAAAAUUGUGAAACAAAUUUUGUGAUGAUCCAUGGGACGGCUAGUGUUUAAUAAAAAUAUAAUAUGCACCAUGUUUUCUAUGAAAAAUAAUUGUUAUGAAUUAAUAUUAUUAUUUCUAUAUAAAUUCAUAUCUCUUGAUAUACUGCUCCAAAUGCUGUGAAAAUUUUAUUCUAUGCUUUGUGUGUUACUGGUAUGCUCUGGUAAUUAUUUCAUGAUUUUUGGAGUACUAUAUCUCUGAUAUGUAAUUUAUGUUAAUACUAUUGCUUAAAUCCUUGUGGAAAUCAUAAUAAAUGUUACAUACUUAUGCUGGUGCUUUCCUUUGGUGGCAAGCUUGCUCAUGGUAGUAGUAGCAUGUAAAUAAUCUGAAAUCUGUUGUUUGACACUAUUUAAGCCAUGUUUCUUAAUUUAUGAAAUAAGCACCUUGUUACAAGUUAAUUAAAUAUCUUAAGUUUGGCAAGUAGUCAACAUGUGGUCUUCUGGUAAUCUUAGGUUAUACUUGUUCUUAUGAGUCACUUGGUUGGUACUAAAUAUGUCUUUGCUAUGUCAACAAAUAAUUAAUUAAAGGUUAUAUAGCUGUUCUGGAAAGCAAGGGAGUAAUCUGAUUAUUGCAUAAUGAUAACUUUAUUUUCUAAAAAACUUGUCUAUAUCAAAGAUAUUGUAAACUUUGUGUUCUAGCUGUGGUUAAAUUUUGGGGUCAUUUGGCCCAGUUUAAGAGUUAUGGCUUUUCCAAGUUAAGUUCCAGAACUAGGUGCUCUCUGUCUUUCUCGAACAGAACCUGGAACUUUGUUUAAUUGACCUAUUUAACUUGUGAAUCUUGCUGUGAUGUCUAAAGAUGAAAUGUAAAUAAUUUCAUAAGCUUUCCAGAAUGUCUUCAUUCAUGUUUGUUGGAUCUAUAUAUCUCUAGUUAUUGGUUGUUCUGUGAGCUGCCCUGUUGUUGGUUGUUGCUGCUUAAUUGUGUUAGUUGUGGUGGUACUCUUUUGUGAGCUUGUAAUAGAAGCUUACUCCAUAAAUGAGUGUCCAAUGAAGUAUGUAAUCAUGUUUGCCAAGCAUUCAUCAUUCUCUUCCUAUGCAUACAUUCCUUAUUCAUUCGUGCAUGCAAUAGGUGCACUGAAGACUGCGACCUCGUUCGAGCUCGAUAGGGUGAUUGCAGAAGGUCUGGAGGUCACCCAGGAGACGGAGGCCCAGCCAGUAGGACCCGAGAAGCCCGAAGAGGAAGUCGAGUGCCCUAGUCACGAGCCCGCUUUGUUCGUGAAAGGCAAGCCCCGGAGCAUCUUAUGUCUCCCACUUUAAUUUCAAAGCAUACUUGAAUAUGUUAUAUCUAUUGAUGCAUUAUGUAUAGGAGUUGUGAUGGAACCCUUGCGGCAUUAUACCUUUCCUUGUCUAGAUAUCUUAUCCUACCUUGUUGUAGAGUUAGGAUCGAGUAGCAGCUUAGCCAUGCUUUAAUCGGUAGAAGUCGGGUGAUAUCCUGUCACCUGCGCGAAAUAGGGUCUGUUGUUGGAUCGUGAUUGGCUAUAUGUGCUAUUGUGGGAAAGAACCUGGUUUAAAAUGACUUAAGUCGGGCGGAGUUUUGCAAGGUGGUAGUAACUCUAUCUGUGGCAGCUAAGGACCGAUCGUUGUAUGUCCUCUUGUCAUGUUGAACGCAUGCCUGACACUUAGUUGGCCGGAUAACUCGUUUCGACCGUGAAGCCUAGUAGUAUGACUCAGGCCAGAAGACCGGCAAGUAUAAAGUGCGCACUACCGGAGGAAGUGCGGUGCGCGGGGGCCAUUGGCGUAAGACCAAGGGCAGGUGAUUUUAAAGUCCUGAUCUUCCUGGUAGAGUGGCAGCCCUGGGAGUGCGGCGCUGAUCGGACCUGCGAUUCAUGAGUCGUACCAAAGGUGACCCACUUGCUCUCCGACAUGGGAUGCAUGGGUGAGUGCUAGGAAUAACCCUCCAGUUGGAUAGGAAUCGAUUUGAAUCGUCGUCUCUCCCGUAUAGUGAGAACUUGACAGAGCAGCGACAAACUUAGCAUCCACUAAGUACUUAAUGGUUCUUAAUGAUGAUGUUGAGGAUAGCAAGCAAGAACAUAUGUUGAAACUUGAUAUGGUUAUUAUUGUUUGUUAAUAAUCAAGUGAAGUGCUUAGUCUAGGUGCUAAUCUAGUAAUAGGCUAAUGAUAAUCAAUAUGAUGCUUAUAAGAAUGGUUUAUUAUCCAGUCUAAGCUUUUUAGCAAAUGUAUAAGUCAAGCCAGCUACACUUUAUACUCAGCCUUGCAUGAUCCUUGGUGUCUUUUAUGUUUGGUUAGACGGGUAAGUCUAGCUGAGUACAUCCUCGUACUCAGGGUUUAUUCCCACCUGUUGCAGAUGAUAUCUUCUAUGAUGGUUUCUGCAAGACCUGCCUUCAUCCCGCUGGGGAUGAGGACUAAACCGUUGGGCGUGGUUCUCUAAUGACUUCAUACCUCUGAUGCUUUUGGUGGAUGUGAUGAGACUCUGGCUGUAACAAGAACUUAUGAAAUGUGUGUGUGAAAACUAUGUUGCUUCCGCUACUUCGAACUUGUGUUGUAAUAACUUAAGUAACUCCGAUGUGGUGCCGCUUCGUCGGCAAUGAAUGAACUAUGUAACAAUCGAUGUAUUGUGUUGAACUAUUACGAUCUUGGUAUGUUGCAAGUUGGUUUGAAAUCCUUCAUGAUUUCGGUUGACUACCAGGAUUAUAUGGGUUCAAGUCUGGAAACUUGAUUGCUUGUUCGAUCGUUUCUACACUUGAACUCUUAUAAUUUGGCCGGUUCUAUGACAGUUGGCAUCGGAGUAAGUUUAGCAUUAAAAUGCAGCAUUUAUGUAUUUAAAAACAAAAGAGUUUUUAAAUAAAUUGUGAAAAUAAGCACCUAAAGUAUGCCAGUGGUCGAAUCCUUCUUGCCCAUAUAAGGACUCUAGGUGGCUAUUUAAGUACUGACUUGGGGGGUUUUAAUUAUGCAUCUCUGGCAGUACUUAGGUAUGGAUGUGUGAUGACCGCACUAUGCUACCCUGUGUAAUUAUGCAUCUCUGGCAGUACUUAGGUAUGGAUGUGUGAUGACCGCACUAUCCUCCUUCAUAUGUGAAUUAGCCACAUAUGUCGCUAGAUUUAAAUUAUGCAACGUCGCACCUACGCUCAGGUAAGUGUGAGCUGUGAGAGCAUGAUCGUCCAAACGGCUGUCUAGGGGAGUGUUCGCGGUGGUUUUCUGGAGUGGUUGCACGUCAAACCAUGGAACCGCGAAAGAAACUUAAUUGGGGAGCAUUUAUUUUCUCGGGUAGAUGUGGUGUCAUUGUUUGCGCAUGUCAGGGUAUGUGUAAGCAAUGUGCACUUAGUUUACUGCUUUCUUGAGUGAAAUAUUGGGAAUUGUUGGGCUACAAUGAAGUUUUAUGCAGGUACUCUAACAGUGCGCGUGUAAGUCGAUAGUUACCGUAUUGAGAGACGAGUGUAUGCCACCGUAUAUCUGUUAGAAUCUUAAAUUUUCUAAGUUUGUGAGGACGUACGGUUCGUGCAUGCAUCAUUGUAAGUGCAUUCGCCCCUGGUGUGGGUUUUGAUAAUUAAUGACAAUCAAAUUAGGAACUAACAUGUCUAUCAAGUGUAAUCUACAGGUGUUAGUUCAUUGAUGGAAUCAAACAAACACAUUUGGUGAAUCACAGCACCCCCAAAUUUUUCAUCUUUUGAGCGACGUUUCAACUCAAGAAGCUACCUAGUUUUAUUUCUUGUUUGAGUUAUAGGAAACGCCGCACUAUCAAGAGGGAUGCAAAUUGAGUUGGUAAGAUGAGGAUAAAGGUGCUCAGGUCAACUUAGCUUUUGCGCUUAAGAGACACACUUGCACGCACGAACACCUACGAAGUUUCUUCUCUGCCAGGGUGAGCUGGUAGUACCGGCCCUCAGGGCCGGUGGUACCGGCAGUGCCAGUUCUUCUUCUGAGUUUCGAGAAAAUGAACUACCGGUAGUACCGGGCUUUGACCGGUGGUACCGGCUACCGCCGGUGGUACCGGUGAAACGCCGGUAGUACCGGCAGGCCAAAUUCUCGCAGAACUGCUGAAUGCGGGAAUUUGUACUGCCGGUGGUACCGGCCUUCCACCGGUGGUACCGGCGCUGGCUGGUGGUACCGGCUCAAGGCCGGUAGUACCGAUAGGCCUUUUUCUCGCAUCUUCCACAACCUUCUCACGUUGAUCUGAGGACACCGGUGGUACCGGUGGUUGCACCGGUAGUACCAGCAGGUGUUUUGUACUCUAGUAUAAAUAGCUCUCUCCUCUUUUCUAACCGUUGGCUUGCUCAUUCUAGCUACUCCACAUCUGAGAAAACAGUCUCCAAGCUUUGUCUCACCCACUCUCUCUCCCUCUUGCUCCUAGACUUCAUUUCUUGAGAGAUUCGAGCUAGAGAAGUGAGAUUAGAGAGUUGGGAGCUUCGAUCUGUGACUUGAGCACUCGGUUCUUCGUCUUGCCGGUUUGGUUUGUAUUUGUUACUCUUGGGUUCUUGGAACCCUAGCCGGCUAGGCGUUCUUCGUGGUUGCCCGUGUUGAUUCACUUGUGAGGGCACCCUAAAGUGUUUGUAUUACCCCUUUAUUCUUAGUGGAAUCAUCAAGCUAACCUUUGUGGUUGCUUGAGGAGGAGACCUAAGUGGUUAGACCUUCGUGGUCACCUCAACAACGGGGACGUAGGAACUCCUCAGUGGAGAUUGCCGAACCUCGGGAAAAAUACCUUGUCUUGCUGUGGCGGUAGCUUCGAGUACCCUUUGUCUUGUGUUCCUUGUGUUCCUUCUCCUCCCACUCUUUGAUAGGUAAACAAGGGUCAAUCUACGUUGUGGAGAAAAACCAAGCUAAGGAAUCUUCAACAACCUCCUCUCCUACAUCUAGGAAAGUGGGGUAACACUCAAAUCUGAAAUCUAAGCUCUUUACACUCUGAUUUCGUAGAUGUUUUAGGGAGUCAGUGGUACCAGCAGUUUGCGUCGGUAGUACUGGCUGUCUUACACCAGUAGUACCGGCCCAAACUGUCGGUAGUACCGACAGGCAUUUGACUUCCGCAACUUGAGUUUUGAGUUUUAGGUUUUUAGAUACGCCUAUUCACCCCCCUCUUGCCAAUUAGAUCCUUUCAAUUUGUAUCAAAGCAAGGUUCCUCGUACAAACGCUUCACCACGUGAGGAGCAACAUUGGCCAAGAUGGAUCCAACAACUCAACAACAAAUCGUUGAGCAAAUCACAUCACAGAUCACAGCAUCCUUGCAGCUGCAGCAGAAAGAGCAGAUGAAGAAGAUGCAAGAAGAGCUAGACAAGAUGAAAGAAAUCCUAGGUAAAAGGAAUCAUGAGUCGGAUAGCGAAGGUCAAAAUGAAGAUGCUAGCAAGGUGUCAAAGACCUAAAACAAAACUGGGUUUGAUUAUAGCGGUUCAAGCAAGAAUCCAACAUUGCCGAUGAUCAAUCCUGGAAAGCCACCUCCAUUUGAUAGUAUAAGGUACACCGAUUGGGCUCAUGGAUUGAAGUUGCAUCUCAUUGCCGCAAGAUGCUGGGAAGUAGUGGACAUUGGAGUGAAUCCACCGCAAGAUCCAAGUGAGUGGACUCCCGAAGAUGAGAGAGACUUUCACCUUAAUGCAACAACUGCUACCUUGAUCUUGCAAUGUCUUACUCCGGAGGACAACAACAAAGUAAAUGGUAUGGUGAAUGCUAAGCAGAUUUGGGACACCUUGAAAGUGUCAUUUGAGGGAGACAAAAGUGUAAGAGUAGGAAACAUUGAGCUCUUACAAAGCAAGAUUGAGAACUUUUGCAUACUUGAGGGAGAAACAACAAAAGCCAUGUUUGAUAGAUUUAUGUCAUUGAUCAAUCAAAUUAGAGCACUUGGAGCAAAAACAUGGGAUGAUAACUCUACAGCAAGAAAGAUUUGUAGAGUAUAUAGGCAAAGGAACAACAUGCUUGCAUCCGUCAUCAUGGAGAAAGAUAACUAUCAUACUAUGACUCCUCAAGAAAUGCUAGCAAAGUUGAUGCACCAUGAAGUCUUGGAUGAUGAAGCCAAAGAAGCCCUAAAUCAAAGAAAGAACAUAGCACUCACAGCUUCUCAUGGAAGCGAGUCAAGUCAUUGCAACAAAGGAUGUUGUGAGCAUAAGCACAAAGAUGAUGAUGAUCUUGAUGAAGAACAAGCUAUGCUAGUGGGAAACUACAAGAACUAUCUAAGGAUGAAGAACGAUAAUAUGAGGAGAUAUGGAGGAAACAAGCGAUAUAGAAAGAGGUUUUGCUAUGAGUGUGGUGACACCGACCAUAUUGCAGCUGACUGUCCCAACAAAGGAAAGAAGUCAAGGUACAACAAGCAAAAUGACAAGAAGUACAAGGACAAGAAGAAAGGGGAAGCUCACCUUGGGCAAGAAUGGCAAUCUGACCGUGACAGUGAUGAUGAUGACAAUGAGAAGAAGAGUAUAGUUGCCAUCGCCGUACAAGAAAGAUCCUCCCCAACCAAGAUCUUCUCCAACAUUGCCUCAUCUACAGCACUCAUCUCCGACACCCACUCAUCGCCUAGGCUCUUCGCCAAUCUCUCUGAUGACGAUGAUGACACUCCUACAUGCCUUAUGGCAAAAGGAGACAAGGUACAAACUAACUCCUCUCCUCAAACCACUAGUGAUUAUGAUAAUGAUAAUGAGGAUGAUGAAAACUAUGCUAAUAAUCUCAUUAAGAAAUAUGGUAAAACUGCUGCAACUAAAAUUCUAAAGCUAAUGUAUGCUAAUGACAAGCUUGAGUCAUGCAUCGAGUCGCAAGGUGAAUUGCUCCUAGAGGAAAGGGAGAAGAACCAAGGGCUCGAAGUAUGUCUCUCCAAGGAAAAGGAGAGGGUUGAGAAAUUGGGUGUAGAAUUGUCUCUAGUCAAAGACUCCAAUGAGCAAUUGACUAAGGAACAUUCCUCACUCAAUGGCUCUUUGGCUAGCCUAAAGAAUGAUCAUAGUUUGGCACAAGAAAUCCUCACAAGCUUGACAACAAAAUAUCAUGAGCUUGAACUAAACUAUGAAAAGCUUUGGCUAGCACCUCUACCGCUUCCAAGGAUUCAAAGGCUUCUACAAGUAAAAGCUGUGAAAGAUGCAUAAAUGUUGACAUAAAUGCAUGUGUCACUAACCUUGAUGAGUUAGCCAAGAAGGACAAAGAAAUUCAAAGACUGAACACUAUUGUCAAGAUUGGUUGCAAGUGCAAGGACAAGCAGCCGGUAAAUGUGUUCAAGGCAUCAAGGCACCCCAUAAUCAAGGAUGGCCUUAGAUAUAAUCGGUACAAUGGUAAGGCCAAUGGGAGAAACAUGAUAAAUGGGGUGGCUUGUGUGAAGUUCAACAAGAGUGUGCCUCUUGUUGACCUUAUUGAUAAGGUGAACAAUGUUGCCACUCCUACAAUCCCACUUGCAAACAACAAGAACAUCAAGAAGAAGCAAGAGGAAGUGCCCAAGCAACAAGCGCCUAUCUCGCGCAAUCAUAUUUGUGAUUACAUGUGUUGUUGGGAUAAGGAUGGCAAGAUUGUUGUGAAGUAUGUGGGCACCCUCAAGAAGAGAGACAUCUGAGGAGUGUUUGGGUGCCCAAAUCUUAUGUGUCUAACCCCCUAUGUUCCAACUCGGGACCUAAAACAAAGGCUUAAUCUUGUCUUGUAGGUUUAUUCCUCCGGUGGGCCAAGUUGGAUGCUUGAUAGUGGAUGCACCAAUCACAUGACCGGAGAGAAGAACAUGUUCACUUCCUUUCAACCGAAUCAAAUCACAAGUGAAAGGAUUGUCUUUGGUGACAAUAGUAAAGGAGAUAUCCUUGGUUUAGGUAAAAUUGCAAUUUCAAAUGAUAAUUCUAUUUCGAAUGUUUUGCUUGUGGACUUGUUGGGAUACAAUUUGUUAUCCGUCUCACAACUUUGUGAGAAGGGUUACAAUUGUCUCUUUACGGAUAAGGGUGUGGAAGUCUCUAGAAGGUCGGAUUCCUCUAUUGCUUUUAUUUGUCAACUAAAGGGCAAGCUCUAUCUAGUUGAUUUCUCAACUAGUAGAGUGGGGUAUGAGACUUGUUUAGUGGCAAAAUCUAGCAUGGGCUGGCUGUGGCAUCGCCGUCUAGCCCAUGUUGGGAUGGGGAACUUGGCCGAUCUUCAAAAAGGUGAACACAUCCUUGGACUAACGAAUGUUUCUUUUGAGAAAGAUAGAAUUUGCAGUGCAUGUCAAGCGGGAAAACAAGUUGGAGCUAAGCAUCCCGCGAAGAAUAUUGUGACUACAUCAAGACCACUUGAGCUUCUUCACAUGGAUUUAUUCGGUCCCAAUGCUUACAUAAGCAUUGGAGGUAACAAAUAUGGUUUCGUAAUUGUUGAUGACUUUUCUCGCUUCACUUGGGUAUUCUUUUUGAAGGACAAGAGUGAGACUCAAGGGAUCUUCAAGAAGUUUGCAAGAAGGGCUCAAAAUGAGUUUGAAGUGAAGAUCAAGAAAGUGAGAAGCGACAACGGGACUGAAUUUAGAAAUACCAACAUUGAAGCAUACCUUGAUGAAGAAGGCAUCAAGCAUGAGUUCUCGGUUGCAUAUACCCCACAACAAAACGGUGUGGUAGAAAGAAAGAACCGAACACUCAUUGAAGCCGCAAGAGCAAUGUUGGAUGAAUACAAGAUCUCCGAAAAGGAUUAUUGGGUGGAAGCCGUUAACACGGCAUGUCACGCCAUCAACCGCUUAUACCUCCACAAGUUGAGGAAGAAAACUGCCUACGAACUUCUAAUCGGUAAAAAGCCUAAGGUGGAUUACUUUAGAGUUUUUGGAUGCAAGUGUUUCAUACUUAAUAAAAGAUCCAAAAGCUCUAAGUUCGCACCAAAGGUUGAUGAAGGGUUCUUACUUGGUUAUGCUACUAAUCAACAUGGCUAUCGUGUUUUCAAUGAGACCAGCGGACAAAUUGAAAUAGCGGUAGACGUGACUUUUGAUGAAAGCGACGGCUCUCAAAAGGAGCAAGUCAAUGCUGAAAUUUUAGGUAAAGAAGAGCCAUCUCGCCAAGUAAUCAAAAAGCUUGCUACCGGUGAAGUGAAACCCGUUGAAGAAGAAGAUGAUGCACACAUGCAAAUUUCUCGUGACCCAAACUUGCAUCAUGGGUCAACCAAUGCCCAUGUGAUGCUUCCACAUCAAGAAGAGGUCAUGACUCAAGAGAACAAGUUGGACAAGAUCCACCUCAAGCACAAGAACUAAACCAAGAUGGAGAUCAAAAUGUUCAAGAUCUAGAUUCUCCAAUCAACCAAGACCAUGAAGAUGAAGAUGAUGGUCCCAUUCAAACAAGAACAGCAGUGCCUCAUCCAAGAGUUCAUCACUUUAUUCAAUGGGAUCAUCCCGUUGAUAGCAUUUUGGGAGACAUACAACGAGGGGUAACAACACGCUCUCGUUUAGUUGGUUUUUGUGAACAUUACUCUUUUGUCUCCUCUAUGUUGCCAAAUAGGGUGGAAGAUGCCUUGGCAGAUCCGGAUUGGGUGAUGGCUAUGCAAGAAGAGUUGAACAACUUCACUAGGAAUGAAGUCUGGUCCUUGGUGGAAAGACCCAAGCAAAACGUGAUAGGUACCAAAUGGGUCUUCCGCAACAAAGAAGAUGAGUAUGGCGUGGUCACUAGAAACAAGGCUCGGUUGGUUGCCAAAGGUUUCACUCAAAUCGAAGGUUUGGAUUUUGGGGAGACUUAUGCACCUGUAGCUAGGCUUGAAUCUAUUCGCAUAUUACUUGCCUUUGCUGCUCACCAUGAUUUCAAGUUGUUUCAAAUGGACGUGAAAAGUGCAUUCCUCAAUGGCCCCCUCUCCGAAACCGUGUAUGUGGAGCAACCACCGGGUUUUGAAGAUCCACAUCAUCCCAAUCAUGUCUACAAGCUGGACAAGGCACUCUAUGGGCUUAAGCAAGCCCCUAGAGCUUGGUAUGAUUGUCUCAAGGAUUUCCUACUCAAACAAGGGUUUGAGAUUGGAAAAGCCGAUCCCACUUUAUUUACUCGCAAAGUCAAUAAUGAUAUUUUUAUAUGCCAAAUAUAUGUCGAUGACAUUAUUAUUUGGUAGUACUAAUGCGGACUUCAGUGAGGAAUUUAGUAGGAUCAUGACCAAAAGGAUCGAGAUGUCCAUGAUGGGGGAGUUAACGUACUUCCUUGGAUUUCAAAUCAAGCAACUCAAGGACGGCACGUUCAUAAGUCAAACCAAGUACACCACCGACAUGCUAAAGAAGUUUGACAUGGACAAGGCCAAACCCAUAAAGACACCAAUGGCAACAACCGGACACCUUGACCUUGAUAAAGACGGCAAGGCCAUUGAUCAAAAGGUAUAUCGCUCCAUGAUUGGAUCUUUGCUUUACCUUUGUGCAUCUAGGCCUGAUAUUAUGCUUAGUGUGUGCAUGUGUGCAAGAUUUCAAGCUAAUCCGAAAGAAUGCCAUCCCAUGGCUGUUAAGAGAAUUUUUCGGUAUCUUGUGUUCACUCCUAAUCUUGGCUUGUGGUACCCAAAGGGCUCCACUUUCACUCUACUUGGCUAUUCCGAUUCGGACUAUGCCGGUUGCAGGGUAGAGCGAAAGAGUACAUCAGGGACUUGCCAAUUUCUUGGUAGGUCUUUGGUGUCCUAGAGUUCUAAGAAACAAAACUCCAUUGCCCUUUCCACCGCUAAAGCCGAGUAUGUGGCGGCCGGCGCCUGCUGUGCCCAACUGCUUUGGAUAAAGCAAACCUUGAGAGACUUUGGUUGUGAGCAAAGCAAGAUUCCCCUCUUAUGUGACAAUGAGGGGGCAAUCAAGCUAGCUGAUAACCCUAUAAACCACUCUAGAACAAAGCACAUAGACAUUCGCCAUCACUUCCUGAGAGACCACCAAUCCAAAGGAGAUAUCGUUGUGCAACAUGUGAGAACCGAAUUCCAGUUAGCCGAUAUCUUCACUAAACCUCUAGAUGAGUCAAGAUUUUGUGCUUUGAGGCGUGAACUAAAUAUCGUUGAUUCUCGUAACAUGGCUUGAUGUCUUGCACAUACUUGAUUGAUUAGAAAGGUCAAAUCUUUAUGAAAAAUUGAGUGUUAUUUCAAAAUCUAAUUUUCACAUCUCAAGCAUGGCCAUUGUUUUGUAAUGAGUUGAUGAAAUCUGGCCAUGUUUGAUUUGUUUCUAAGUUUGCCACACUAAGUUCACUUCUGCGCUGAUUCCCUGUCCUGCCGGUGGUACCGGCGCCUAGCCCCGGUGGUACCGGCUCCAGCCGGUGGUACCGGCCGAAGCCCGGUAGCACUGGUAGGCCAAAAUCCUGCAAAACUCUUCUCCCCUCUCUCUGGCUCGCCGGUGGUACCGGCUCCUUGGCCGGUAGUACCGGCAGUACUUUUCACUGCCAUAUUUCAGCCGCCCGCUGUAACUUUCUCUGCCUUAUCUCUUCACACCCGCCCGACCCCUUCUUCUUUUCUCUUCCCCCGGCGGCGGCGGCGGUGUUCUUGGCCCGAUCUCUCGGCUCCUUCUUCUCCUUCGCCCGUUCUUCAAGGAGGUCUUCGCCCCGGCCGUGAGGGAUGCGUGGAGAGUCUUUGUUGACUCCAAGACCCUUGGGAUUGCUUGGAUUCGGCCUCCUUUCUCCAUGACGCAAGGUACUCAUUGGAAUCACCCGAUCUCCCAAUGUACCUUAUUUUAGGCCGUUUCCUCGCACUCCUUUCCUUAUCUCAGUGUGUUCUUGCUUCUAGAAUACCUUAUGCGCUUUUCCCAUGGUCGAUUCGGUCGAUUGGAGGUGAUUUCCUUGCUCAUCGGUGCGGCUGGUGGUACCGGCCCCUGUGAGUAGGGCAGUUCCUCCCAUCGCCUUGAUCGAUUCCAUGCUACAUUCUAGUGCGGUCUUGUAAUCUUUUCUUGCUCCCCUCUUUGUGGUGUUGCAGCAGGGAUUCUGGGAAGCGCAAGAACCCUCCCCGUGGUGCUCGCCCUAGUUCCAGUGACGCCGGUGGUCAGUCUGAGAACGGGCAGUGCUUGGCCAUGGGACUCCUUCCCGUGGUUAGGGUGCUGCUGGUGCUUCCACCGAUGAUGAGGGUAUUCCUGCCCCUCUUCACACCCACACCGUCCCGUGUCCUCCCCUCUCUCACUGUGACAGAGUUCGAAGUCAAGCCGUGCCUGAUCCUGUGCAAGAGGAAGGACGAGCCAUGGACCCCAAUGUCCUUCGUCGCUCGCCCCUGCAUCUCAGUGAGGUUGGUGCUCGCCGGACUCUCUCAUGGCAUCCUCAGUUUAAUGCCCAUGUCCGGAGGCCCUCUAUACCCUCGGGCACUCAGCCCUGGCUUGGUAUUGAUUACAAGAAGCACCUUGUGGACUUAAGAAAUCAGCGCAGUGAGAACCCCUACAAGUUUAUCAAGUUUGAGGGAGUUUAGUGUUGACACUAGCUAACACCACUUAGAUACUAGGUUGUCAUCCCUAGCAUGGCGCCAGAGUGUACAAAGGUAUUUAUAAAUGUAAAGACUCUCUAGAAAAUAAUCUAUUCUAUCCGCAAGCGCACAGAUAAAACACCUCAUUGUAGCAUUUCACCAGGAUAAGUAUUCCAAGUAUCGUUAUUUAUAAUUUUGCUCUAGGGAUCUAAAGAAGAUGGAAUUAAAUCAAGGGACAAAAUCUAUCAAGGCAUAGACUAGAGAUAAACUUGCAAGAACAUGAUUACUAAUGAGAAACUCGUCACACAGUCACUUACUUUAGCAGGGGGUAAACCAUAAAGAUAAUGAUAAUAAAGUAUAAGUUCAUGGGUAGAUAGCACAGCGAUUAGAAAAUAGAUUACUCCUCAUAUAUGUAGGUGAUGUCGGAUUAGCUAGAGAAUGGAUUCUAAGUUAUCUACUAACUACUAAGUCAUAAUCUACUCUAGUUAUCUACAAGAUCAUAUAUAGCAUAAAAGACUCUUCAUUCAUGUAUAAGGAACAUUGAUAAAGUAAAUCAGAACAUCGCAUGACUUACUCCACAAUACCGGUUCUGCCUGUCCUAGCAACGGAGGGUGGACUAUAUAAGAAUCAACGAAGCUAUCACUAUCGCGAACUACCACAUGACUCGGCCAAUAGGAUACAUUUGCAGAUAAAUAACAUCUAAGCACCACGCUCAUAUGUGAUCUAUCACCUAACUCCCUCGCGUCAAGAGCUAAGCGCUUUGCAAACUUAUACAUAAACUCAUUAUCAAUUAGAACUAUAUCAAAUAUAGAACUAGAGCAAACUAAGAACAUAAUAAUUAGAGACAUAAUGCAAUUAGAACAAUAGAAUUAGAGAAAGAUAUGAAUAAUACCAAUCUUUAUUACCGAAGAUCCGAAUCCAGAGCGUAGUGCUCUACUUCUCUAAUUGCUAUCUAAUCAAACCUCUAAACUUGAAGGAUUAGGGAGUAGCUAAUUCUAAUUCUCUGUGGGAGAGAGAUCUAAACCCUAACUUUGAUGGCUACCUCUGAAUAAUGAUUUCUCCUCCCUCCUCCAGGGGCCAGGGGGUCUGGUUUUAUAGUCCUCUCAAGUGAACGUGAGCCAUUGGAUCAAACCGACAUAGAUUGUAUGGUUUAGAUUGAUCCUUUAGGUCGGUGGAGCGUUGUCCCAAAGCAGAGUCCUGAUUGGCCUCCAACCCUUGGCGGGCGCCCAAGGGGGGUGGGCGGCCGCCCAGCUCCCGAGCCCGAAUCGCGUCCCGUUCGUUCCCGUGGCUUCUGGAUCCUUCUAGAUUGAGGAAAAUUGCGCGGCACGUAAUUAUCUCGUUGUAAACAUGACAUGUGGGCCUUCUCUCCAUAUUUUCUGAUAAACCCCUGCAGAAAUAGAUAAACACCAAAACUCAUGGAAUUCUGUCAGAUAAAACCCUAAUUCUAGAUGUUUGUUUCAUAUUGAUCCCUUUCUAUGUUUAUUUGAUUAUUAAUUUUAGUACUUAAGGACCGUCAACAAACUCCCCCAAGCUUACCCUUUGCUCGUCCCUGAGCAAACAACUAAACUCAGACGGAUCAGGAGUUGCUUCAAUGUUUUCUUUCCUGACAGGCACACAUGCUUUUACAUAAAAAUUCUUCCAGAUUAAAGUGAAGUGUUAUGGAGUUUAGUACCUGCACUUAAAUCUUAAGUAAUCAAAAGACAAAAUAGUUAAGUCAAGCACUAUUCCUCUUGUCUAUACUUCACUUUUGUUCUAGAGUUUUUCAUAAGUUUUCAAAAUGAAACUCAGAGUUCCCAGCAAUGAUUCUCUCAAGUCUCUCUAUAUGUGGUAUUUGUGGAUCCUUACCAUGAUAUCACUUACCUAUAGCUAAUGGAAUAUUUAAGUGGAGCUCAUAGGAGUGGAAAACAGCUCAUACAUAUAUUGUCUAAUCGAGCCAUGGAUCCAAAGGAACUCAGCAUAUAAUUAAAUCAAGAUGUGCAUGUGUGGUGGAGUAAAUGAUAAUGAUGGUGGAAAUGCAUAAGUGAUAAUAAAAUUUGAUUCUCAUUGCUCCUCAUAUUGCUAUCUCUCCUCUUCUUUGAUCUUUGCUUUGGGAGAACAUGGGCUAUCUCUUUUUCUUCUUCUUUUUUUUUCAGGUGGGUAGUGGAUACCCCUAAUUCUACUGUCGGACACUUGUCCAUUUUUUCCGCUCAAGUGGGCAUCUUUGUACCCCUAAUUCUACUUCGGACACUUGUCCAUUUUUACCUCUCGUCUCACUCUUUUUCAUUCUUUUUCGAGGUUCCGGGCACUUGCCCCUUUUUAUUUCCUCGCAUAUUUUUGCAUAACCCAUGCCUCUUCUGCAUUGAAUCUUUUUAGCGAGAGAAUAACAAUAUUCGGGACAGUGAGUGAUACUAUUUUUAGCAAUUUUAAUGAUUGGUGAUGAAUGCUGUGGUAGAUGUGUGCAAGUGAAUAUCUUCAUUUAACCACAUGAAAAGCUCCUAAGGGUCUACACAGCUCGAUCAAACUCAAUGUGAAUAUAGUAAAAGAUGUUAUAGCAAGUAUGGCUGUGGUAGGUAGUUUUGUUAUGCUAGGAACUCAUCAUGCGAUUUGUAAGUUUUCAAAAUAAAUCUCCAGAACUUAGUGUAGUAGAAACAAGAUAAACAGUAGCUCAACUUUAUAUCAUGCCUUUCUCUUACCUAGACUUUAGUUUUAUGCCUCCCAAAGAUAGUAAUUUUAGUUUUAGUAAUUCCUGGAAGAAUUCUAAUAUAAAAGCUAGGUACUUGUAAGUAAGCAAACAGAGCAACUAUUCAUCAUUUCCAUCAUGUAUAUUUUUGGUCUUUUUAUUUUUUCUAGAGAUUAAACUUAGCAGAAAAAAUAAAACACACUUAUCUACACACUCUUUUUAUUUUGUUUUCGUGUUUAUAAAGUGCAGUAAAUUAAAGCAAGAAAAUAUUUAUUUGGUUUUCUAAAUUUACCUUUUAAGGUAAACUAAAUAUUAGAAUAAAAAAGAAUAAAUAAGAAGAGCAAAUAAAAACUUACUUGAUAAAUUUAGGGAGGAACUCCCCCAAGCUAGAUGUUGACGUCGGUCUUACCCGAUGUUCCAGAACCGCAUCAUGGUUGUGAUGUUGUCGUUCAUUGUUGUUGUAUCUUGUCUCAGCUCUUCUACUGCAGCGGCAUGGUCCUGGUUCCAUUUUUGUUGUUCUUCCAGGAGUCUUCCAUGUUCUGCUUGCGUGUUCUGGAUGUCGAGGAGGGUGUUGUCGGUAUGAGUGAAGAAAGCACCGGCCUCUUGAUAAUAGUCAUUCGUGAAGGCGUAGGAGGCGUCGGAGUAUCGUCCUGCAUCAAAUUGGGGCGGAGGUCUGGAUCCUGAAGCUCCAUAUGGAUCAGUGGAGUACCUGCCCGUAUGAAAAGGCGGGUUUGUCCACUGGUGAUCUUGGCUCUCCGGCCAUGUCUCUUCUGUUGGCUCUUGUGGUUGCGCAUGACAAGCCCAUGGGUCUCGAAGGACUCGAGGGUUGUAAUCGCAAUAAUGCAGGUGCGAUGCUUCUUCUGGUCCAGGGUCAGCUCCAUACCAAGUGCGUUCUCGGUGAGUGGUUAUCCUUUCAGAUGCCACUCGCUGUGGAGUUCUCUGGUUCACUGGUGUUGCUGCAAUCUCAAUCAAAAAGUUUUGCACAGAGUAGAGGCCAAGGUUCGGGUUAGGUAACCAAAUCUUGCCUUUAUCAUCAUACAGCAUGUACAUUAUAUUUCCCUCUUUCUUUAACAUCCGAGCUUGUCUAAAUGUGUCAUAGCCAUGAUAAAUUCUUAAUUCUUCUAUGAAGUCCAACGAUGAGUUUUCUAAUAAAUGAAGAUUAGAGGCUAAACGAGUGAUAAGUGAAGUACAUCCUACUGGUCCCUGAAGACUAGGUAUACUAAGCCAAUGUGAAACUAAUAGUGUGACAGGUGAAGUGGGUACUUUACUAAUAGCAGCAUAUAAAAGUUGUAAAUCUCCUACUCUUACUUUCCUAAUAUCAUCGCGAUAGAAAAGAUUGUACCCAAGCCAUUUGUGGAACAUCCUAAGAGUGGGGUGUUCCAUGUCACUGGUUCGGGCUUGACUGUAAAAAUUAUCUCUAGAUAUUUCUCUCCAAAACUGGUGUCUCUCAAAAUUGGGUAAAUCGGAGUCAAUGUUCAGGAUGCAUCUUGAAGAGAAACCAAGAUGGUCGCUCAGCUCCCUCCAAGAUAACAUAAUUUCCUGUUUGAACAUCCGAAAAACAAUUCCCCCCUCAUAGUAUUGUAAGGUGCAAAGAAAUUCGAGGGUGAGAAGACGAGAACCCAGCUCAGUUAUAUUCCAAAAAUUUGUCCAACCCAUCAUUUGAAAAAUUAAGUCAAAUUCAGUGUCCAUACCUGUUUCUUGUAGUAGGGUUGGAUCGAGAGUAGGGGUGUGAAUGAAAUCUUUAUUCUUCAAUUGCUGAUAGACUUCCUUCUCUCUUCGGGUCUUCAGUCCAAGGUCUCCUAUCUUGAGAAGAACCUUAACUUGCUGACCUGAUGAAGAUGAUGGAGCUUGUGUGGGUGUCGGGUCGACGCUCAUCUCUGAUGGCUGUGAGGAGUGUCGGGUUGAACUCCUUGUACUAAUGUUCUUGAGAGCCUUCCCUGCAUUUUUCACCUUCUUAAACAUCCUGCAAACAAAAGUUGGCAAAAACACAACUGGUGGAAAAUGUGAGAUAAAAUGUUAGUGGUUAGCUGUCCGGAGUGUUAGUAGUCAAGGGGUUAAUUGUUCAAGACAAGUUUCUAUUUUGGUAGAGCCUCCCCCUAAACAACUUUUACUUCCGCUUAGACCACGGGAUCACUACUUGCUAGGUGACAAUCACUCUCUCAUAAGAACUCCAACCUUCUCUUCCACUCUCCUCUUUCUUUCUACUCUCUUCUCUUUACUACAAAAGCUCCUCCUCGGAAAACUGAGAUUUGUGUGGUUUUCUGAAGUGUUUGUGUGAAGAGAAGGGGAGCUGGAGGUGGCCUUUUAUAGGCUGAGCAGGGGACAGGGCGGGCGCCCUUGGUAGGUGGGCGGGCGCCCACUUGUGAUGCCCAUCCUGGGUGUGCCUCCUCCACUUGCUUCCUUGCUUUGAUCUCACGCAGAAUAAUAUUGUGUUGGUGGUGGUUGGACGGUGGAAAGAUGUCAAGUGAGUGGAAACAUAUUGGUGGAUGAAAUUAUGUGAUGGGAUGUAUGUGAGAUGAAGUGUAUGACAUGUGGGACCCAAAGAGUGUGGGUCAUGCUUCUAGAAGAUUUAUAUGAUUAAAUAUAAUGCAGGAAAAUCUAUGAGAAUCGAAACUUAUUGAAAAUGAUAUUGGAAAAUAUUUUUGUGCCCCCACAAUAAUUAAUAAAUAUGGGUUGUUACACACCACGAAUAUUAUUUAUCUGGGGCUUUUUGAUUAUUAUAAUAAUGCUAUGAAUAAAUGUGACUAAUGCAAGAUUUAAUUAUGCAAGAAAUUAAAUAUGAGAAAAAUAAUAAUGCGGAUAAAUACCGAUUUACCUCCUGGUGAGGGUUUGGGAUUUUUAGGUCCCCCAAGCUGGACCUCCAAUUCUUUUAAUCUUCUGAGUUUCCUUCCUCCGGAGAUGGUGUCUCCAGUGGUUCUUCUUGAACUUCCUUCACUGUAGAGUCUCUCUCUAAUCUGGGUUUGAAUGUGAAGUGUUCUUCUUGACCGUUUAUGUUGAACUUGAUUUCUCCUUUUCCGACAUCAAUGUGGGCAUUGGCAGUGCUCAGAAAUGGCCUUCCAAGGAUGAUGGAUACUUUUGAGUCAGGACUCAUGUCCAGUACUACGAAGUCUACUGGCACAAGGAAAUCUCUGAUCUUGACUGGAAUGUUCUCGGCGAUGCCCAACGGGUGUCGAACCGAUUGAUCCGCUAGUUGUAGGCACAUUGAUGUUGGUUCUAGGGUUGCAUGAUCAAGCUUUUUGUAGACUGAUGCUGGCAUCACACUGACACUUGCUCCGAGAUCACAAAGUGUAUUGUUGAAGUGUUGGUUUCCGAUCGAGCAGUCAAUAGUGGGGCAUCCUGGAUCUUCCUUCUUCUUUGGUGGUUUGUUGAGGAUGGCCGCACUACAUUCUUCUGUCAGCUUGAUAACCUCAGUGGUGGGCUGUGGUCUCUUCUUGUUAAGAAUAUCUCUGAUGUACUUUGCAUAUGUAGGUACCUGUAUGGCAUCGAGUAGAGGUAUGUUGACAUAUAAUUUCUGAAUGACCUCUACAAACUCACCAAACUGCUCAUCCGACUGCAGUCCUCUGUUUCUUCUGGGAAAUGGCAAAUAGUUGGUGUCGUAAAAAUCUUUCCUCAUUUCUCUAGCUCUUGGUGGUUGGAGCAGAUCUUCUGCUUCAACUGGGCCUUCUUCUUCUAUUACUGCUGGUUGCACUGGUGCUGAUGUUCUUUGUUUCUCUUUUGGGUAUGGUGGAUCUCUGGUAGCUUUGCCUCCUCUAGUAGUUAUAUUCUUUACCUGCUCAAUGUUAGUAGCAACAGGCAGUGCAGCAGCUAUCUUUAUUAAUUUAAGUUCUACCCUUUUAUUAAGAGUGUUUUGCUCAUCAAAGGCAGUUAGUAGAAAAUCCAUUUUAUUGUGUAUAUCUUUUAGAGAUGAUUCAUUUGUAUCUAGCCUUUGUUUAACUUCAUCAUUAAUUUUGGUUUGUUGAGCAAUUAUCUCUUUUAAUGAAAGUUGCUUAACAAUAUUACCUGAAUUCAUACCUUUGCUAUUGGGUUGACUUGAAGUUGGUUGAUAUUUGUAUGCUGUCUCAAUGGCCCUUUGAUCUUCUUUGAACUUGGCCCUCUGGUCAAUCCAAUGGAGCAAAUUUUCCAUCUUAGCUGAUAAUGCAUUUACUUCUUCUGGUAUUUCUUCAGUUUGAUGACAUUGUUGAGCUUUAUCUUGGAACCAGCUUUGGUUUUCUGCUAUCUUAUCCAAAAGUAUCUCUGCUUUUCCAGUUGUAAGCUCCAAGAAUGAUCCUUUAGCAGAUGCAUCUAGGCACUCACGAGUCUUCUGGGUUAAUCCAUGGUAGAAGGUCUGCAUAAGUAACCAUGUGGCCAUUCCAUGGUGAGGACAAUUUGAUAUGUAUCCUUGAAAACGCUUCCAUGCUUCUGAAAUGGCUUCUGUCUUCUGCUGUUGGAAACUGACAAUAUUUCCUCUUAAGGCAGUUGUUUUGCCUAUAGGGAAAAACUUUGAUAGAAAGGCAUUUGACAAGUUCGUCCAGUUGUUGAUGUUAUCUUGAUGAGUGUAGAACCACUUCCUCGCUUUUCCUUCUAGUGAGAAUGGAAAAAGGCGAAGCAGUAUGACGUCUUUGUCAACUCCGUUGAUGUGGAUUGUGCUCCCAAUCUCUAAGAAAUUCUGCAAGUGUGCACUGGCAUCUUCAUGUGCCUUUCCACUGAAUUGUGUAGCUUGCACCAAAUUGAUGAGGCUUGACUUGAGCUCAAACUUGGGUAUUCCUUCUUCUACUGCAAAUCUUGGACCAGUUGGAAUGUUGUCAAGACUUGGAGCAGAGAAUUCUUGCAAGGUCUUUUGUGCCAUAGCUUCAGCAAUUGGUAGCUAGCUUCUUCUUCUCUUGAUUGCUUUGGUUCUGAUGAUGAAGAGUUGAAUGUACCCAAAGUCAAUCCUGUCAUACCCUGUAUAAAAAUAUAAACAUAGAAAAACAACAGGGUGAACCUGCCAAAGCAGAGGUGCCUUGUUAUGAUUUCUCACUUAGUAGCUGUUUUAUGCAAUUAUUUCUCUAUAGUCUAGUCUAAAAUUUUAUAUGAAUAACCUUGAUUGAUUUUCUGGCUUUCCUUAAUAUUACCCUUUUGUUCCCUUUAAUGACUUAUUCCUGAGACUCAUAUAAUUCAUAUAAGUCCUAUAGUUCCCCGGCAACGGCGCCAGAAAUGCUUGUUGACACUAGCUAACACCACUUAGAUACUAGGUUGUCAUCCCUAGCAUGGCGCCAGAGUGUACAAAGGUAUUUAUAAAUGUAAAGGCUCUCUAGAAAAUAAUCUAUUCUAUCUGCAAGCGCACAGAUAAAACACCUCAUUGUAGCAUUUCACUAGGAUAAGUAUUCCAGGUAUCGUUAUUUAUAAUUUUGCUCUAGGGAUCUAAAGAAGAUGGAAUUAAAUCAAGGGACAAAAUCUAUCAAGGCAUAGACUAGAGAUAAACUUGCAAGAACAUGAUUACUAAUGAGAAACUCGUCACACAGUCACUUACUUUAGCAGGGGGUAAACCAUAAAGAUAAUGAUAAUAAAGUAUAAGUUCAUGGGUAGAUAGCACAGCGAUUAGAAAAUAGACUACUCCUCAUAUAUGUAGGUGAUGUCGGAUUAGCUAGAGAAUGGAUUCUAAGUUAUCUACUAACUACUAAGUCAUAAUCUACUCUAGUUAUCUACAAGAUUAUAUAUAGCAUAAAAGACUCUUCAUUCAUGUAUAAGGAACAUUGAUAAAGUAAAUCAGAACAUCGCAUGACUUACUCCACAAUACCGGUUCUGCCUGUCCUAGCAACGGAGGGUGGACUAUAUAAGAAUCAACGAAGCUGUCACUAUCGCGAACUACCACACGACUCGGCCAAUAGGAUACAUUUGCAGAUAAAUAACAUCUAAGCACCACGCUCACAUGUGAUCUAUCACCUAACUCCCUCGCGUCAAGAGCUAAGCGCUUUGCAAACUUAUACAUAAACUCAUUAUCAAUUAGAACUAUAUCAAAUAUAGAACUAGAGCAAACUAAGAACAUAAUAAUUAGAGACAUAAUGCAAUUAGAACAAUAGAAUUAGAGAAAAAUAUGAAUAAUACCAAUCUUUAUUACCGAAGAUCCGAAUCCAGAGCGUAGUGCUCUACUUCUCUAAUUGCUAUCUAAUCAAACCUCUAAACUUGAAGGAUUAGGGAGUAGCUAAUUCUAAUUCUCUGUGGGAGAGAGAUCUAAACCCUAACUUUGAUGGCUACCUCUGAAUAAUGAUUUCUCCUCCCUCCUCUAGGGGCCAGGGGGUCUGGUUUUAUAGUCCCCUCAAGUGAACGUGAGCCAUUGGAUCAAACCGACAUAGAUUGUAUGGUUUAGAUUGAUCCUUUAGGUCGGUGGAGCGUUGUCCCGAAGCAGAGUCCUGAUUGGCCUCCAACCCUGGGCGGGCGCCCAAGGGGGGUGGGCGGCCGCCCAGCUCCCGAGCCCGAAUCGCGUCCCGUUCGUUCCCGUGGCUUCUGGAUCCUUCUAGAUUGAGGAAAAUUGCGCGGCACGUAAUUAUCUCGUUGUAAACAUGACAUGUGGGCCUUCUCUCCAUAUUUUCUGAUAAACCCCUGCAGAUAAAACCCUAAUUCUAGAUGUUUGUUUCAUAUUGAUCCUUUUUCUAUGUUUAUUUGAUUAUUAAUUUUAGUACUUAAGGACCGUCAACAUUUAGGAGCGGUUUUGGUCCCAGUUUCACAAUGACUUCUAUGAGUCCGUCCUCUACAAAGCCAGCAAAGUCACCAAGAAUAGUCCCCUUUUUCGGCACAAGUAUGUGGUCCUCAAGUCCUUGCAAGACUUCAAUCACCCUGAGGUCAAUGCUUUGAUUCACAAGCUUGAAGAAUGGCAGAUCCUUCCCCUUAUGACCCUUGAGAAGAAUUGGAAUGAAGAGAUCAUCUUUCAGUUUUGGGCAACAUUGUGGGAUGAUCAAGCUUCUAGGGUGCUGCAUUGGAUGACUCAAGGUGUUUAUUAUCACCUUGACUUUAUCACCUUCUCUCGCCUGCUUGGUUUUGAUCAUGCGGAUCGUGAUUGUUGGGUAUUCUUAACAUCAUUACCAAAAGUAGACUAAGUUCUCUAAAUCUAGUAACGGUGCCAAAAACGCCAAACCUAUCCCUCACACCACUUAAGCCAAGUUGUCAUCCCCAGCAUGAUAUAAGAGACGUGGUAUUGAAAUAUGCAAUUGCUCUUCUAAAUAAAUAAUGAAUGGGAUCUGCAAGCGCACAGAUUAAUACCGAUGUAGCAUUUUAACCGGGAAGUAUUCCAGGUAUCGUUAUUUAUAUUUUUACAACUGGGAAGGGAUUAACAAUCAUCAAUAUUGAUUACAGAAUAGAAUAUGAGAUUGAGCAUCUAUCAUUGCAUGUAUAAUUGAGAACAUUAUAUCUAACUCUUCAUACAGGGAUAAGUGUCACAUAAAAGAUAUAUGAGGUAAUAAUAGUGACAAAGAUAAUUAAUCUGAUCUAGCCACAUAAUAAAUAUGAUAAGCACCUCAAUUAGAUAUUCUAGAAAGUCAUUAGCAUGGUAUUAGAACGAACUACAAGAAUAUUCCCUAAGUUAUUCUCAACUAUAUAGUCUAGCAUUAUCAUAAUUAGUGCAAGCAUACUUAGCAAUCAUUGCAAGACAAGACUACGCCCAUGCAUAGUGAUAUUAGCAAGGUAAAUGAGAAACAUAGCAAUCACUCCCCUGUAAUAAUGUUGCUCUUCCAGCCCAAUACACGAUAGGGGGACUAUAUAAAAAUCAAUGAAGCUGUCACUAUCACGAACCACCCCACGAUCUGGCAUAUUGGGUACAAUCGCAGAUAAAUACGGUAUAAGCACCACGCCUACACAAUAUCUAUCAUUUACCCAUGGAUCCGAUAGAUAAACGCUAUACGAUCCUAAGCAUGUAUAUAGAUCCAAUCUAACUAAGCCAAGUACAUAACUAUGAUAAACUAAGAACAAUAUAAUCUUGAAUAUAAGCAAGUAGAGCAAAGUCAUAAGCAAUAUAUUGAAGUAGAACAAAGUCAUAUUCAUAAUAUUGAAGAACAAAGAUAAUUAGAAAGUAAUUAGAAGCACAAUUAGAGAAUUACCAAGAAACCUCCUGACAGAUCCGGAAACCAAUCGAAGAUUGACUCCUUCUAGUUCUAAUCCUAUGUAGCCAUGCUAAUCUAGAUAUCUAAUUGAUGUGGUGGCUCUAAUCUUGAUCAGAUCAUUACCAAAAGUAGACUAAGUUCUCUAAAUCUAGUAACGGUGCCAAAAACGCCAAACCUAUCCCUCACACCACUUAAGUCAAGUUGUCAUCCCCAGUGUUGGGUAUUCUUAACAUCAUUACUAAAAGUAGACUAAGUUCUCUAAAUCUAGCAACGGUGCCAAAAAUGCCAAACCUAUCCCUUACACCACUUAAGCCAAGUUGUCAUCCCCAGCAUGAUAUAAGAGACGCGGUAUUGAAAUAUGCAAUUGCCCUUCUAAAUAAAUAAUGAAUGGGAUCUGCAAGCGCACAGAUUAAUACCGAUGUAGCAUUUUAACCGGGAAGUAUUCCAGGUAUCGUUAUUUAUAUUUUUACCACUGGGAAGGGAUUAGAAAUCAUCACUAAUGAUUACAGAAUAGAAUAUGAGAAUGAGCAUCUAUCAUUGCAUGUAUAAUUGAGAACAUUAUAUCUAACUCAUCAUACAGGGAUAAGUGUCACAUAAAAGAUAUAUGAAAUAAUAAUAGUGACAAGGAUAACUAAUCUGAUCUAGCCACAUAAUAAAUAUGAUAAGCACCUCAAUUAGAUACUCUAGAAAGUCAUUAGCAUGGUAUUAGAACGAACUACAAGAAUAUUCCCUAAGUUAUUCUUAACUAUAUAGUCUAGCAUUAUCAUAAUUAGUGCAAGCAUACUUAGCAAUCAUUGCAAGACAAGACUACGCCCAUGCAUAGUGAUAUUAGCAAGGAAUAUGAGAAACAUAGCAAUCACUCCCCUGUAAUAAUGUUGCUCUGCCAGCCCAAUACACGAGAGGGGGACUAUAUAAGAAUCAAUGAAGCUGUCACUAUCACGAACCACCCCACGAUCUGGCAUAUUGGGUACAAUCGCAGAUAAAUACUGUAUAAGCACCACGCCUACACAAUAUCUAUCAUUUACCCAUGGAUCCGAUGGAUAAACGCUAUACGAUCCUAAGCAUGUAUAUAGAUCGUAUCUAACUAAGCCAAGUACAUAACUAUGAUAAACUAAGAACAAUAUAAUCUUGAAUAUAAGCAAGUAGAGCAAAGUCAUAAGCAAUAUAUUGAAGUAGAACAAAGUCAUAUUCAUAAUAUUGAAGAACAAAGAUAAUUAGAAAGCAAUUAGAAGCACAAUUAGAGAAUUACCAAGAAUCCUCUUGACAGAUCCAGAAACCAAUCGAAGAUUGACUCCUUCUAGUUCUAAUCCUAUGUAGCUAUGCUAAUCUAGAUAUCUAAUUGAUGUGGUGGCUCUAAUCUCGAUCAGAGGCUUCUUCUCCCUUGAUGGAACAAUAAAUUAGGGUUGAGAGGCUCUCUCCUCCAGGGGCCAGGGGGUCUGGUUUUAUAGUCCCUCCAAGUGAAUAUGGGCCCUUGGAUCAAACCGACAUAGAUUGUAUGGUUUAGAUUCAUCCUUUAGGUCGGUGGAGACUUCCCGCAAAGCAGAGUCCUGAUUGGACUUGGGAGCAGGGCGGGCGCCCAGUAGGACAGGGCGGGUGCCUUGCCUCUGGCCCCGUUUUGCCUCCGCUUCGGUCUCGUGGCUUCUGGAGUCUUCUAGAUGUAAGAUAAUUGCGCACCACGUUAAUAUCUUUACGUAAUCCUGACAUGUGGGCCUUUCUUCCAUAUUUCCUGAUAACACCUUGCAGAAAUAGACAAACACCAAAACUCGUGGAAUUCUGUCAGAUAAAACCCUAAGUCUAGAUCUUGAUUCCAUUUGGAUCCUUUUCUUUAUUUAUUUGAUAAUUAAAUUUGAUACUUAAGGACCGUCAACAAACUCCCUCAAGCUUACCUCUUGCUUGUCCCUGAGCAAGGAUAGACUUAGCUAUGGAUCAUAAGUUGUUGCAAUAUCUUUUUAAAAAUUUGACGGUACACAUGCUUUUAAAUAAGAUCUCAUCUCUGAGUUAGAGUAAACUGUCAAGACUUAAAACUUACUUACUUUACCUUCACCAUGGGACUUGUAACUGUCACUUCUGUCUUGAGUGGUUAAAAGAUAGAACAGUCUAGUCAAGUGCCAUGUCUCUUAUUCUUGAUCAGCUAUAGCUCUGGGGUUUUUGCAGAUUUUCAAAUAAAACUCAGAGUUUCCUUGUAUGAUUCUCUCAGGUCUCUCUUUUGUGGUAUUUUUGGAUCCUUACCAAGGCAUUGAUGGUAUAUGCCUUCUCUCAAGAUAUGUGGUAUUUGUGGUAUGAGGCAUAGUGAUAUUGCCUUCUCUCUCACCCUACUCUACUAAGGCUUUAAUAUCUGGAGCUCAUAGGUGGGAGAUAAAGUAUAGAUACUUACAAGACAUUUAUUGCAUAGUCAAACCAUGGAUCCAAAGUAACAAGUCAAUAAGUUUAAUCAAGAUGUGCAUGUGUGGCGAAUGAAUGGUGUAUGGUGAUGAUGGUGAUAACAACGGUGAAAACAAUGGUGGUGGAAGUCUAAUUCUACUUUGCUCUUUUGAGGGGAUACAUACCUUCCUUGCUUUUGAAACUUUAUGAGGAGAAUGAGAUGCUCUUCUUUUUCUUUUCUCUCAGGUGGGUAUCUUGUACCCCUAAUUCUACUGUCGGACACUUGUCCAUUUUUACCUCUCGUCUCACUUUUUCUUUUCUUUCGAGGUUCCGAGCACUUGCUCCUUUUUAUUUCCUUGUAUUAUUUCUUCUUUUUUUAGAGCACUCAUCUCUUGAGAUAAUAUAGCAAGUGGUAGUAACAAGAUAACUUGAGCAUUUAUUUCACAAGGGAAAACAGAAAAUAUUUUUGGUUUUUCUCUCCCGGAUUAGGAGUAGAAUAUUUUUAGGUGGUUCUGGAGAUGGAAUGGGUGGAUAUAUGUGGAUGGUACUUCCGGAGUAGAAGUAGCAUAUAUGAGUGAACGUGCAAGUGAAAUCUUGAUUUAACCGCAUGACAAGCUCCUAAGGGUCUACACAGCUUGACCACACUCAAUGCUCAUAAGCAGUAAAUAGUAAAUGUGUGGCUCAAAGUCUAGCAAGCAUGUAUAUAUGGCUGUGGUAGGAAUUUUAAGCUCUCAUCAUACAGGAACUUAUCAUGCAACAUUUUAAAGAUUUUCAAAGAUAAAAUUCUCCAGAAUUCUAGCAUCUCUAGGAACAGAUAAACAGCAGCUCAACCUUCCCAUAUCGUAUCCGUUAACAACUUAGACUUCAGAUCAAGUUUUCAUCCCACAAGUUUAGGUCUAGAGCAAGCUUUAAAUUAUAACAGUUAUAUCUAAACUUGAGAGAGAACUUAAAAUUUGCAAAUUAGGCAGAGCAACUAUUUAUCAUAACCAUGCUUAAGUUUUAUUUAGAUACAGAUUAGCAUAGCCACUUUAUUUAUUUAUUAAACACACUAAGCAAAAGAUAUAUAUAUAAGCUUAAAAUCUUUAUUUGGUUUUCCCAUAGUUUAUGUAUUUUAAUAUUCUAAAAUAAUGUAAGUAUAAAGAUAGAUAGAAAUACUUAUCGAGAUAAAUGGGGGUGCUCUCCCCCAAGCUGAAUUUUGACGUAAUUUCUCUUGAUGUAGCUAACAGGUGGCAGAGGUGUAUUUGAAAGUCAGCAGCAUUCUGACAGCGAUUAGAAUGUCCUCCGUCUGCUAGUCUUCUUGAUUCUUAAAUUCUGUGGAGCUCAAAUAGACAACAAAGCUUGUGGAACUGAUUAAGUGUUAGCAUAAAUAUAUAGCCUUCAUCAUCUUGAGACUCCUUAAUAAUUAUUACUCCCUGUUUUUAUAUUUUUAUUUUAUAAAGCAGAAAAAUAUUUAUUUUAUUUUUAUGCCACCACAGUGAAUGUACGUAUGGGUUUUAUGCCACUCGUAUACUCUCAUGGGGCUUACUGUUUUUUCAUAUUUUUUUUUUCUUUUUAAGAUAGUGUGAAUAUGAUUAACUAAGUAAACUAUUUGAAGUAACUGAAAGAAAGGAUAACUACCAAGUUUACCUCUUGGCAAGGCGUUCGGUGUUUUUUUUAAGUCCUCCGAACGGGACUCUCCAAUUUCUUAAUCGUCCUGAGGUUCGUUGGGUGGCGUAGUCGGUACUUCCGGCAGCGCCUCCUCUUCUUGUAUAGUUAUCUUCAUUUUCCAUACCUGACUCGGUGCUUCAAUCUCCUCUGGAUAAUUCUGUUUAAACUCUACGUCUUCUGACCUUACAACUUCUCCUUCAUAGUCUGCCCAUCCGUCCUUGAUGAUCUGCCUCCUCUGGUUGCGGUUGCGUCUCUUUCUGACCUGCUUAGAUUCUUCAACGAUAUAGCUAGGGUCAGUAAAAUAACGGCGUACCUUCUCUGAGGGGAAGUGCAUAUGGACUUCUCCGGUUCCAAUGUAGAUAAUUGCUUUAACGGUGCUGAGGAACGGCCUUCCAAGGAUGAUGGGUGGAUCAUACUCGUCUUCUCCCAUGUCAACAACAUGAAAGUCUGUGUAGACAAAGUGAUCGUCUAUUUUGACUGGGACAUUAGAUACUAUUCCUUUAACUUCUCGAAAUGUCUGAUCUGCCAUCUGGAGCUGAAUGUAUGUUGGUCUUAGUGGCAUGGUCCCGAACAAGAGCCGAUAGUUGACUGCGGCCAUUAUGUUGACGCCUGAUCCGGUGUCGCAAAUCGUCUUGUAGAAGUUAUAUCCAUUUAUGGAGCAGUAAAUGCUUGGCAUUCCUGGGUCAUCCUUCUUGGUCAAAAACGGUGACUUCAGUUGGUGAUCUUGGCCUCCAUGGACUACAGUGACCAUCUUAGCUGACUCGGUCCACACUUGCUUGUUCCUGUUCCUCCUGUUGGUCCUCUUCCUUGAUCCACGUCUGGAUUGAUUUGGAAUUUGUGUAGUCUUGUUCUUGAAGAAAAAUGUCUCCUUCUUCCCUUUGACGUAGAAACUGAUCUUGGCAGCACUGGCGUAGAUGAUAGCUCCCGUGGUGUUCAAGAAUGGCCUCCCUGAGAUGAUAGGUGCUCUUUCAUCAUUUCCGGUCUCUACCACUACGAAGUCUGCUGGUGCAUACAAGGUACCAACUCGGACACAAAGGUUCCUCACUAUUCCUUUUGGAAAAGUUAUCGUCUGAUCUGCAAACUGCAAACACAUGGUUGUCUCUAAUAAAGGAUAUGUAAAGAAUUUUUCAUAGAGUACCCUGGGUAUAAUGUUGACGCUAGAGCCAAAGUCGCAGAGUGCUUCUGGGACGUCCACCAAGCCGAUGGAGAUCGGGAUGACGGGGCGUCCUGGAUCGCCUCUCUUGACCGGCAGACGGUCAGUAGAAAAUUCAGUGAUGGGGUUACUCCAAUUACCUGCAUCAAACAUGUCUACAAGAUUUGCAGAUUCUAAUCCUUCCGGUUGUGAUGGUAUACCAGGGUUAGUAGUAGGAACAGCAGCAGCUAUUUGAUUUAACUGAGAUUCAAUCAUUUUAUUAAAGCUAAUUUGAUUCUUGAUGGCAGUAGAAAAAUUAUCCAUUCUAUUAUUUAUAUUUUCUAGCAUUUUAUCAUUAGAUGCCAAUUUCUUAGAUAGAUUAUCCAUUAGCUUUCCUUGAUUAGACACUAACUCUCUCAAAGGUGGAAAAUUAUUAUUGUUGUAAGAAUUGUUACCUUGAUAAUUACCUGAGUAGUUAGGCCUCUGUUGAUUCCAACCUUGAUAUUGUUGAGGACGGUUGUAGUAGUUGUUGUUGUUGUUGUUGUUGAUGUAGUUCACAUCCUCAAGUAUCUCAGGGCAGUGGUUGCCUGAGUGUCCAGUGUCUCCACACUCCUCACAAGUCAUGUGAGAGUCGUAGAUGUGCAUAACUUCUUUCUUGUCUCCAGCUCUAUCGUCGAGCUUCUUCAUGAGUAGGUCUAGCUUUGCAGACAGCAUGUCUACCUCCUUCAGCUGAUGCAUACCUCCACCUCUCUUGCGUGUCUGGGUCCUCUCUUCAUUCCAGCUUUGAUUGGACGCCAUCUUCUCCACAAGAGCUGUGGCUUGUGGUAUAGUAAGUGAUAAGAAUGCUCCUCCAGCUGCAGCAUCCAUGGUCUCUCGGGCACUGUUGCUGAGCCUAUGAUAAAACGUCUGCAUCAAUAGCCAACUCUCCAUUCCAUGAUGGGGACAUUCUAGGAUGUAGUCUUGAAAGCGCUCCCAUGCUUCUGUAACAGAUUCAUCAUUUUGUUGCUGAAAACUUGUAAUCUUCCCACGGAGAGCAUUGGUCUUGCCCAUGGGAAAGAACUUAGCCAGGAAGUUUGUUGAGCAGAGUGCCCACGUAGUAUUCUUCUCCUUUGUAGCGUAGAACCACUGCUUCGCUCUUCCUAACAGUGAGAAUGGGGAGAGGCGAAGUAGUAUAGCGUCUUUGGAAACUCCUGCUAUGGUGAAUGUGUUGCAAAUCUCCAGGAAGUGUUGUAAAUGAGCACUAGCAUCUUCGUGUGCCUUCCCACAGAACUGGUUGGAUUGCACCAUGUUGAUAAGUCCAGGCUUGAGCUCAAAGUUGCCAUCGAUCUCUGCAGCAGGUCCAGUGCGGAUGUUGUCCGUAGUGGGAGCUGAGAACUCGCGGAUUGAUUUGUUCGCCAUGGCUUCGAACUCUGAAAACAAGUUCCGGUGAUCUUCUUGAUUGGAUGAAGCUUCUUGCUGAAGUGUUGAUGAUUUAUUUAGCUUGGCCCUCGUCUUCUUGAAUAAUGCUUCAGGAUCGUCAACAAAAUUCCCUAGAAGAUGUCUUCUAUUCAUACAUUCCCCUGCAUAAGAUAAAAUAGAAAAAUAUCGGGGUAAAACUGUAUGAGAGAAUAGAUAAGCUCAAUCAUAUUAGUGAUGCGAAUGAUUACUCUAAAUCUUUUAUUCCAUUCCUGAUUGGUAAUCAACCUUCCCCGGCAACAGCGCCAAAAAUGCUUGUUGGGUAUUCUUAACAUCAUUACUAAAAGUAGACUAAGUUCUCUAAAUCUAGCAACGGUGCCAAAAAUGCCAAACAUAUCCCUUACACCACUUAAGCCAAGUUGUCAUCCCCAGCUUGAUAUAAGAGACGCGGUAUUGAAAUAUGCAAUUGCUCUUCUAAAUAAAUAAUGAAUGGGAUCUGCAAGCGCACAGAUUAAUACCGAUGUAGCAUUUUAACCGGGAAGUAUUCCAGGUAUCGUUAUUUAUAUUUUUACCACUGGGAAGGGAUUAGAAAUCAUCACUAAUGAUUACAGAAUAGAAUAUGAGAAUGAGCAUCUAUCAUUGCAUGUAUAAUUGAGAACAUUAUAUCUAAUGAUUACAGAAUAGAAUAUUAGAACGAACUACAAGAAUAUUACCUAAGUUAUUCUUAACUAUAUAGUCUAGCAUUAUCAUAAUUAGUGCAAGCAUACUUAGCAAUCAUUGCAAGACAAGACUACGCCCAUGCAUAGUGAUAUUAGCAAGGAAUAUGAGAAACAUAGCAAUCACUCCCCUGUAAUAAUGUUGCUCUGCCAGCCCAAUACACGAGAGGGGGACUAUAUAAGAAUCAAUGAAGCUGUCACUAUCACGAACCACCCCACGAUCUGGCAUAUUGGGUACAAUCGCAGAUAAAUAUGGUAUAAGCACCACGCCUACACAAUAUCUAUCAUUUACCCAUGGAUCCGAUGGAUAAACACUAUACGAUCCUAAGCAUGUAUAUAGAUCCAAUCUAACUAAGCCAAGUACAUAACUAUGAUAAACUAAGAACAAUAUAAUCUUGAAUAUAAGCAAAUAGAGCAAAGUCAUAAGCAAUAUAUUGAAGUAGAACAAAGUCAUAUUCAUAAUAUUGAAGAACAAAGAUAAUUAGAAAGUAAUUAGAAGCACAAUUAGAGAAUUACCAAGAAUCCUCCUGACAGAUCCGGAAACCAAUCGAAGAUUGAAUCCUUCUAGUUCUAAUCCUAUGUAGCUAUGCUAAUCUAGAUAUCUAAUUGAUGUGGUAGCUCUAAUCUUGAUCAGCGGCUUCUUCUCCCUUAAGGAACAAUGAAUUAGGGUUGAGAGGCUCUCUCCUCCAGGGGCCAGGGGGUCUGGUUUUAUAGUCCCUUCAAGUGAAUAUGGGCCGUUGGGUCAAACCGACAUAGAUUGUAUGGUUUAGAUUCAUCCUUUAGGUCGGUGGAGAUCUCCCACGAAGUAGAGUCCUGAUUGGACUCAGGGAGGGGGCGGGCGCCCAGGAGAACAGGGCGGGCGCCCUUCCUCUGGCCCCGUUUCGCCUCCGCUUCGGUCUCGUGGCUUCUGGAGUCAUCUAGAUGUAAGAUAAUUGCGCGGCACGUUAAUAUCUUUAUGUAAUCCCGACGUGUGGGCCUUUCUUCCGUAUUUCCAGAUACCCCCCUGCAGAAAUAGACAAACACCAAAACUCAUGGAAUUCUGUCAGAUAAAACCCUAAGUCUAGAUGUUGAUUUCAUUUAGAUCCUUUUCUUUGUUUAUUUGAUAAUUAAAUUUGAUACUUAAGGACCGUCAACAAACUCCCCCAAGCUUACCUCUUGCUCGUCCCUGAGCAAGGAUAGACUCAGCUAUGGAUCAUAAGUUGUUGCAAUAUCUUUAAAAAUGGACGGUACACAUGCUUUUUAAAUAAGAUCUCAUCUCUGAGUUAGAGUAAACUGUCAAGACUUAAAACUUACUUACUUUAUCUUUCACCAUGGGACUUGCAACCGUCACUUCUGUCUUGAGUAGUUAAAAGAUAGAACAGUCUAGCCAAGUGCCAUGUCUCUUAUUCUUGAUCAGCUAUAGCUCUGGGGUUUUUGCAAAUUUUCAAAUAAAACUCAGAAAUUCCUUGUAUGAUUCUCUCAGAUCUCUCUUUUGUGGUAUUUUUGGAUCCUUACCAAGGCAGUGAUGGUAUAUGCCUUCUCUCAAGAUAUGUAGUAUUUGUGGUAUAGUGACAUUGCCUUCUCUCUCACCAUACUCUAAUAAGUGGGAGAUAAAGUAUACAUACUUACAAGACAUUUAUUGCAUAGUCAAACCAUGGAUCCAAAGAAACAAAUCAAUAAGUCAAAUCAAGAUGUGCAUGUGUGGCGAAUGAAUGGUGUAUGGUGAUGAUGGUGAUAACAAUGGUGGAAGUCUAAUUCUACUUUUGCUCUUUGAGGGGAUACAUACCUUCCUUGCUUUUUGAAUAGUGAGGAGAAUGAGAUGCUCUUCUUUUUUUUCUUUUCUCUCAGGUGGGUAUCUUGUACCCCUAAUUAUACUGUCGGACACUUGUCCAUUUUUACCUCUUGUCUCACUUUUUCUUUUCUUUCGAGGUUCCGAGCACUUGCUCCUUUUUAUUUCCUCGUAUUUCUUUUUUCUCUCUCUUUUUUUUAGAGCACUCAUCUCUUGAGAUAAUAUAGCAAGUGGUAGUAACAAGAUAACUGGAGCAUUUAUUUCACAAGGGAAAAUAGAAAUAUUUUUAGUUAUUCUCUCCCGGAUUAGGAGUAGAAUAUUUUUAAGUGAUUCUGGAGAUGGAAUGGGUGGAUAUAUGUAGAUGGUACUUCCGGAGUGGAAGUAGCAUGUAUGAGUGAACGUGCAAGUGAAAUCUUGAUUUAACCACAUGACAAGCUCCUAAGGGUCUACACAGCUUGACCACACUCAAUGCUCAUAAGCAGUAAAUAAUAAAUGUGUGGCUCAAAGUCUAGCAAGCAUGUAUAUAUGGCUGUGGUAGGAAUUUAAACUCUCAUCAUACAGGAACUCAUCAUGCAACAUUUUAAAGAUUUUCAAAGAUAAAAUUCUCCAGAAUUCUAGCAUCUCUAGAAACAGAUAAACAGCAGCUCAACCUUCCCAUAUCGUAUCCGUUAACAACUUAGACUUCAGAUCAAGUUUUCAUCCCACAAGUUUAGGUCUAGAGCAAGAUUUAAAUUAUAACAGUUAUGUCUAAACUUGAGAGAGAACUUAAAAUGUGCAAAUUAGGCAGAGCAACUAUUCAUCAUAUCCAUGCUUAAGUUUUAUUUAGAUACAGAUUAGCAUAGCCACUUUAUUUAUUUAUUAAACACACUAAGCAAAAGAUAUAUAUAUAUAAACAUAAAAUCUUUAUUUGGUUAUGUAUAUUUAUAUUCUAAAAUAAUAUAGGUAUAAAGAUAGAUAAAAAUACUUAUCGGGAUAAAUGGGGGUGCUCUCCCCCAAGCUGAAUUUUGACGUAAUUUCUCUUGAUGUAGCUAGCAGGUGGCAGAGGUGUAUUUGAAAGUCAGCAGCAUUCUGACAGCGAUUAGAAUGUCCUCCGUCCGCUGUUGACGGUCCUUAAGUAUCAAAUUUAAUUAUCAAAUAAACAAAGAAAAGGAUCCAAAUGAAAUCAACAUCUAGACUUAGUGUUUUAUCUGACAGAAUUCCACGAGUUUUGGUGUUUGUCUAUUUUUGCAGGGGGUUAUCAGGAAAUAAGAAAGAAAGGCCCACAUGUCAGGAUUACAUAGAGAUAUCAACGCACCGCGCAAUUUUCUACCAUCUAGAAGACUCCAGAAGCCACGAGACCGAAGCGGAGGCGAAACGGGGCCAGGACCUGGGCGCCCGCCCAGUUUCCUUGGGCGCCCGCCCACCUGCCGAGCCCAAUCAGGACUCUUUCUCUCGGGAGAUCUCCACCGACCUAUUGGAUCCAGAAUAACAUAGUACCACAUCGCCUACCGACCCAAAAAUGCAUAGAAGGGGAGGACUAUAUAAGGAGACCCCCCUGGCCCCUAGAGAAGACAAGAAAUUAUCAUAGAGAUUGAGGGGUGCCCUCGAAGGAAAACCUCUUCUCUAAAUAAUAUUUCUUUUUAGGCUUAGCAACCAAUGUAAAGUAGAAAUAGAUCUUCUAGUUUCUACUAGAUUGAGAGAGAUAGAGUGGAGGUGUAGAUCGGAGGAAGGCCGGCCUGUCGGUGUCUACUCCGAGUUGUACCUGCGGGAUCAAGUCUCCUAACCCGAGGCUUGCUUCUAAGAUUCUUCGGUAAUUCGACUUCUAAUUCUAGUAAGUUCUUGUUUUAUUGUUCUUUGGUUUAUGAGUUUACUUUAAUCCUCUUCCGGUUGAGUAUUAGAGUAAUCACUUGCUAGCGUAAACGUGGUGUUUAGGCUAGGGUACUCAUAGAUAUCCCCUGACUAGCUGGACCGUGGUAGUAGCGAGGAUCGUGACAUUUCUGAGUUACCUUUGUAUCCCAUAUCUUGUUAGCAAGACGGGUAGGUUUAUAGGUGCGGGUCGAACAUCCUUUGUGUUGUCUAGAUUCCAUGAGCCUCCCCAAUAGAACAGUAGAUCAUCCUUACCAAGGUUAGAAAGAGACUACGGUUGUAGUCUUCUCUAUACAUCACUCACAUCGAGAAACAUUCUUUGUAGCCUAAAGGGAUAGUAGCAAUAGAUUUGGUUAGUCAGAUGCACCCUUUCUCCCAGUGGUAAAAAUAUAAAUACGAUAACUCUGGAUAACCUCCCGGGUGAAAUGCUCACCGAUAUCCGUGCGCUUGCGGGUCAUUUCCUUAUUGCGUUACCAAAUAUCAACAAGCAUUUCUGGCGCCGUUGCCGGGGAGAAAGACGGUUUGCUGAGAUAACUUUGAGUCUUGCUAUUAUCUUGUAUUAUACUUUUAUAUUUUUAUUCUUUUAUCUUUUUAUUUUGUCUAUCUUUAUGGAUAACUUAAAUUCCAUACCUAUUAUUGAAUUCUUUGCACCUUCGGAGACCAGCCAUAGACCAUGGGAGUCAACACGUCCUGCCCCUAAUUAUGAUCUGUGUCCGGAGUUGAUUGCAAUAGGUCAAAACCAACCCUUUUCUAUAGCCGAGGUCCUAUCUUUUAAUGAAGAAGAUAAUGCACUUUUAGCUACACCUAGGGAAUCUGUUAAUCUUUCUAUAAAUUCUGGUUUAGACCUAGCCCUACAAGACCAUGUUUUUCCUAGAUAUUUUCACAUUGGUCUUAAUUAUAUAACCUUUGGUAGAGUUCUUCUUUCUUUGUCUAUUAGUAAAGGAAUGUAUGUCUUCAUUCGUGGACAUCCUUCUUGUACUAGUCUUCAUAGAAAAAUCUUAGAGAUAGAGAAGGAAUCAUCUCCCAUACAAGGAGAGGAAGUUUCAAUAGCCGAUUUCCAAACAUUUCAAUCCCAUAAUUCGGCUAUCCAACCCAUCCUUGAGCUUAAUAAUUUCUACUAUGCUUUUUCUCUUGAACCUCCCGAUAAUCCUAUGAAUCUCUCUAGACAUCCCAUGCAUAAGAAGGAGGAUCGAGAAGAGCAACAUCGAUGGCUAGAGGGCAUUAAAAAUCCACGUGCUAUCACUAUUGAAUGGAUAGAUAAAACAAACUUGAGAGACAAUCCUAGAGGAAUUUUAAGCAUUCAUAAAGAAUCAUCCUUGGAGUUUGAGAAUGAGAGAAACAACAGUGAGCAUGGAAGUUAUUUCAUAAAUACCUCAUCAAGUCCUUGUUCAUAUAAAACAUCUCUCCAAUCAAUUGGUCUCUCCAACCUUACCACAUUUGAGAUCUCCAACCCUCUCUUCCUUUCUAUUUAUAAAAACUUUAAAAGGGCGGUUGUCGAUGCAUAUGUCUAUAAUAAAUAUUACAGAUCUCGUUGAGUUGAUCUUGAUAUAGGUAGGUGUUGGAGGGGAAACCACUUCACCAACAUAACUUGAUGGUUUCCCAAGGACAAGCUUAGUGUCCUAAAACAAGCACCUAUCAGAUUGUGACAUGAACUUCUAAUUAUUUGCAACAUUGCCUUGUGUAUUGAGCAUGUUAAGAUAAUUGUAGAAAUAUUCCUUCGGGUAUUCUUAACCUUUCCAGGACUGGAGCAAGAAGAUCCGAGGAAUGACAAGCACAAGGUAUGUCCAACCAACCAUCAUACAACAUUGAAUUCAUCCAAUCUUGAAUUUUGCAAAAUUCAAGCUUGGGGGAGUACUUCACAUAAAAACAUCCUUUGCCAUGUUGCUAUGUUGGUUGUCCUUACCUUUGAGACAUGCUCAAUUUGUUAAAUACUAAUCACACUACUUCAUCUCCACUUAAGUAGAUCUCUAUAAAUGUCAUCACGCUACCUUUUGUUUAUCCUAGUAAGUGUUAGUUUGGAAGUACUGCACAUACUUCUAUCGGCUUUUAAAUUAAGCGUGGUGCUUAGGUUAAAUAGCCUUCCUUAAUCUGAUUAGACAUGGAGUCUAGUUCGGUUAUUGAACUAAAAACUGCUUGAGUAGAUAUUGGUAUAUUUUGUGGGACUAACCCAUGCAGGAAAACUUUCAAUAUCAACCUGGGAAGUCCUGAGAUAAACUCACAUUGGAGAUGAAGAAAGUGACACAUGAAGUUUAACAGUUUGCACAAGAAAGACGUAGCUCAAAAUAGAUGAUUCAUGGAGGGUGCCACAAACACGAUGCACAACCGCUAAGAAAGGAAAGCUUCCACAAGGUGAUACUGUACCGUCACUCUUCAAGUAAGGUAACAUUUUAAGGUACUUGACUAUCACUUUUAUAAGCUUCUCCUUGGUUCUGGCGUUCACAUAAAAUAAAGAGACAAACAUGUAUGAUCUGUAACUCCAAAUUAACCAACUCAAUUAAUUCAACAUGUUUAGUCCUUUAAUCUUUGUUCUUAGUGAUACCUUCGUGAUCUCACACUCCCAAUCAUAUAAGCUAAAAUGUUGCACAUUCAAUCUUUGGGAAGAUAUAAAGAAAAAAAGACAUAUACAUAGAUAGAUUAUCUUUACAUUAGAUCGAUCAAUCUGAUCUCACAAAUGUUUUAAAUACUACACUCAUGAUCUUAUUAUCCAUCAACUUUGUCUUGCUCACUAUGCUUAAGGUUAGAGAACAACAAUUACACUUCUGGUUCUGUUGGUGUUUUCCACCAACAGGGCCUAUGCACUUGAUCUCUGCCUUGUCUCUAUGAGCAGGAACACUUCGAGCAUAACAUGGAGGAGUUUUACAACUCCCAGAUUCCACCAAGUGAAGAACCGGGAUCUACGAGCACAAACACAUUGGAAAUCAGACACUUAGUUUCCCAAAGGAAAUAUUGAAGAACCUCUGUGUCUGAGUUGGUACCUUGUAUGCUCCAGCAAACUUCGUGGUGAUAGAGACUGGUACUGAGGAGAGGGCACCCAUCAUCUUAGGGAGGCCAUUCCUAAACACCAGAGCUAUCAUCUACGCUAAUGCUGCCAAGAUCAGUUCCUACAUCAAGGGGAAGAAGGAGACUUUCCUUCAAGAACAAGACUACACAAACUUCAGAGCAAUCUUGACAUGAACCAAGGAAGAGGACCAACAGGAGGAACAGGAACAAGCAAAUGUGGACCAAGUCAGCUAAGAUGGUCACUGCAGCUCAAGGAGGUUAAGAUCGUCGACUCAAGUCACCUUUCUUGAUCAAGAAGGACAACCCUGGUGUUCCAAGCAUUGAGUGCACAAUCAAUGGAUACUCUUUUCAGAAGACACUCUACGACACCGGAUCUAACGACAACAUAAUGGCCGCAGUCACUUAUCAGCUCCUGCAUGGAACCAUGCUCCUACAACCAAUAUAUAUUCAGCUCCAGAUGAUUUUUAGAUCAUUGACUUGGGAGAAGACGAGUACGAUCCACCCAUCAUCCUUGGAAGACCAUUCCUCAACACUAUCAAAGCCAUUAUCUAUAUUGGAACCAGAGAAGUCCACAUGCACUUCCCCUCUGAGAAGGUACGCCGCUAUUUUACUGACCCUAACUAUAUAGUUGAACACUCUAAACAGGUCAGGACAAGAAGAAGACAACGCAACCGCAACCGCAACUAGAGGAGGCAAAUCAUCAAGGAUGGAUGGGUAGACUACGAAAGAGAAGUGAUAAGGUCUGAAGACAUACAACUUGAACAGAACUAUCCUGAGGAGACUGUAGCACCGAGUCAGGUGUGGAGAGAGAAGUUAGUUAUACACGAAGAAGAGGCGCCACCGGAAUCACCGACUACGCCACCUAGCGAAUCCCAGGACGACUGAAAACACAAGGAGUCCCGUUCGGAGGACUUAAAAACACCGAACGCCUUGCGAAGAGGUAAAUUUGGUAGUUAUCCUUUUCCUUUCAAUUAUUAUAGUUUGCUUAGUUAAUCAGGUUCAUGCUAUCUUGAAAAGAAAAUAAAAAUGUUAAAAAAUAGUAAGCCCCAUGUGAGUAUGCUCAUGGCAUAAAACCCAUAAGUACAUUCACUGUGGUGGCAUAAAAAUAAAAUAAAUGAGUUUUCAUCUUACAAUAAAAAUAUAAAAAUAAUAAGUGCAUGAUCCUGCUAAAUAAGUAAUAUUUAUUGAGGAGGCUCAACAUGAUAAAGGCUAGAUAAUUAUGCUAACACUUAACCAGUUCCACAAAGCUUUGUUGUCUAUUUGAGCUCUACAGAAUUUAAGAAUCAAGAAGACUAGCAGACGGAGGACAUUCUAAUCGCUGUCAAAAUGCUGCUGACUUUCAAAUACACCUCUGCCACCUGCUAGCUACAUUAGAAGAAAUUAUGUCAAAAUCUAGCUUAGGAGAGAGCACCCCCAUUUAUCCAGCUAAGUAUUUCUACUCGCGUUUAUACUUUACUCAAAUGAUAAAAGAUGCAUAAUCAUGAAAACCCAAAUAAAGAUUUUGUGCUUUUAUAUAUAUCUUUGCUUAGUUUGCUAAAUAAAUAAAUAAAUAAAUAAAGUUUGCUAUGAACCCUCAUGAUAAACUCUCACAUGGAAAUGAUGAAUAGUUGCUCUGCCAUGACUAGUUCUUAAAAUUGAAAUCUCUCUCAAGUUUUGGCAUGACUGUUAUGAAGUAAGAUUUGCUCUAAACCUAAACUUGUGGGAAGAGUACCUGAUCACAAGUCUAAGUUGUUAACGGAUAUGAUAUGGGAAGGUUGAGCUGCUGUUUAUCUGUUCCUAGAGAUGCUAGAAUUAUGGAGAAUUUUAUCUUUGAAAAAUCUUUAAAAUAACACAUGAUGAGUUCCUGUAUGAUGAGAGUUUAAAAUCCUACCACAGCCAUAUAUACAUGCUUAUUAGACUUUGAGCCACACAUUUACUUUUUACUGCUUAUGAGCAUUGAGUGUGGUCAAGCUGUGUAGACCCUAGGAGCUUGUCAUGUGGUUAAAAUCAAGAUUCACUUGCACGUUCACUCAUACAUGCUACUUCUACUCCGGAAGUACCAUCCACAUAUAUCCACUCAUUUCCAUCUCCACAUUCACCCGAAAUUAUUCUACUCCUAAUCCGGGAGAGAAUAGCCAAAAAUAUUUUCCUAUCCCUGUUAUUCCGUGUGAAAUAAAUGCUUGAGUUAUCUUGGUUACUACCACUUGCUAUAUUAUCUCAGGAGAUGAGUGCUCUAAAAAAAAUACGAGGAAAUAAAAAGGGGCAAGUGCCCGGAACCUCGAAGAAAAGAAAACGUGAGACGAGAGGUAAAAAUGGACAAGUGUCCGACAGUAGAAUUAGGGGUACAAGAUACCCACCUGAGAGGAAAGAAAAAAGAAAAUGUAGAGCAUCUCAUUCUCCCAAAAAAAAGCUUCAAAGUGCAAGAAAGGUAUGUAUCCCCUCAAAAGAGCAAAAGUAGAAUUGGACUUUCACCAUUAUUAUCACCAUCAUCACCAUACACCAUUCAUUCGCCACACAUGCACAUCUUGAUUUGACUUAUUGACUUGUUUCUCUAGAUCCAUGAUUUGACUAUGCAAUAAAUGUCUUGUAAGUAUGUAUUAGCUGUCUCCCACCUAUGAGCUCCAGAUAUCAGAACCUUAUUAGAGUAGGGUGAGAGAGAAGGCAAUAUCACUAUGCCUCAUACCAAAAAUACCACAUACUUUGAGAGAAGGCAUGUACCAUUACUGCCUUGGUAAGGAUCCAGAAAUACCACAAAAGAGAGAUCUGAGAGAGUCAUAUAAGGAAUCUCUGAGUUUUAUUUGAAAAAUCUGCAAAAACUCCAAAGCUAUAGCUGAUCAAGAAUAAGAGACAUGGCGCUUGACUUGACCGUUCUAUCUUUUAACUGC